This 80621-nucleotide long non-coding RNA is filed under the name Triticum aestivum (bread wheat). RNAcentral's name for it is "long non-coding RNA (TAES_LNC016599)". The record is from RNAcentral. Lineage: Eukaryota; Viridiplantae; Streptophyta; Magnoliopsida; Poales; Poaceae.
CCUUUUUUUGUGAACGCGCCUCUACACCCGUACGAUGGGCCGCGCCCGUGUGAACGUCCAAGUUAUUGGUGCAUCAUCCCGAGUUAUUGUCUUUUUUCUGGGGUGGACUUCACACCAGUUAUUAACUACUGACGCGUGCCCCGUGUACACAGUCUCGCAUGACCUUCCUGCUAGCACGGUCCAAAAUUAGUUGAAACUGGAUACGAACGAUCCCGCGGGCGGCAAAAUCUCCCGCCUCCUUCUAAAUUUUUUGCCACCUAGUCUUUAGCAUGUGAAAUUCCCCUUUUGUCCUCAGUGCACGGAGACCAACAGUUACAAUACCGCCCUCAUCUACAUAAUAGGUCGGGGCUUCUUUGGUAACUUCCGCCCCCCACCACACGACACCCCCAUUUCCUCUCCCCUCCUGCAAAAAUGACUAACUCCACAACACCAGAGCAUCCUGCAUCACGUCGUCCGUACUUCAUCGGCCUUUCUACCCCUCCCCUCUUGUCGUGGAAUUAUCAUGUCAGAUGUCCUAGUGAAAGGACUUAGUCAUGGAGCCAUCGCAACUAGGAAGCUUAAAGGGGUUAAUCGAGACAAAGGACACGUGGUUUAUAUUGGUUCGGCCCCUUACGGUGAAAGUAAAAGCCUACGAUCUAGUUUUGAGUGGGAUUGCUUAUGUCUCGAUUACCAGGGAGUGAAAUCACUUGACCUAGCUCUCGAUCUAAUAUUACUUGCCCUGAACCGCUGCAAGGUCAUCCCUUUAUAUACAGAGGUCGACACCCAGCGGCUUACAGAGUCCCGGCCGGCUCAUAAACAGUGUCUGGCUCGGUCUCUUAACUAUUCUUGCCUUACAAUACAAGUUAUGUAUAUAUGGCGGUUUAUCUCUAAGGGCCUUAAGUCGUCUCUGGGCUUUGGGCCCUUAACUGAACCGCCAUCUUCGAGCUUGGUCUUGGGCUUCAAGGGUACGCAUAGGUAUAACCCGGCCCCUCCUAGGUAGGUUAUACCUAAUAGUUAUAUCCCCAACAUUAGGCCCCAGAUUGAUUUGAACUGGUUCAUGUCAAUCUUCGACACUUAAGAAAAAAUCUUCUGCCCUUUGCUUAAGAAAUUUUUGUAACCCGCCAUGACGUCAUCCGUUGGAUUUGUGGUAACCCGCCAUGACGUCACCUGCCACAAAUGCACGUUUCGUCCAACAUAUCUCAACGAAUCUUUAUCUUAAUGACCAUCCUGAAAAUCAAGGCGUCCUUGCAGCUGGAUAACUAUGUCUUUGGCCUCCUCGUUUUUCGCGCCCACUUAUCAGUCUUCCCUUAUAAAUAGGCACGACUAGGUCUCUUCUCAUUCUCCCCUUUCCUCAUCUUCUUCCUCCCGUAACCCUACUGCCGCUCGAGCUCCGCCGCCGUCACAGCGCACCUUGUCUUCCUCAACCUUGGCCGCUUCAUCAACCUGAAUCAGUCCAGAGAACGGCGACGACUCUCCGCAGUAGAUCUGCAGCUGUAAGUCUUCGCCUUUCUGCACCUUAGAUCCGCAUUAGGGUUUGUGAGUUCUUCUAUAUUCUUUGCUGUUCAUCAUGGGUUCUUCGUAGUUUCUCCACCGCUGCCUCUUUUGAUCCAAAAGAAGUAUGAAACUCAUGCAGUAGCUGUUUCGCGUCCAUUUUAGACACCAGCAGAUCCCUUUUUCUUGUAAAGAAGCCUCAUUAGAACUCAUGAACUCGUUCGUACCACAUUUUUAGGUCUAGAAUAUUUUCUUUUCUUAACAGUCAUUUGAUCCAAAAUAAUAGUUGCAACCUGUGAAACUUGUUUAUACAAUACUUAGGCAAAAAACUGUAAUUGUUAGAUCCACCUAGCCAUGGCGACUCUUAUCACCGGCUUAAAAAGGCAAUGCUCAAUUGAUAAUCUUGACCACUCAUGGCGGUUUAAGCGGCUUAAAUAAUUUGACAUAAUUAGUCUUAUACCAUUAGACCCCUUUAUAAGCCGCCAUCUUGAAUAUGCACUAUAAUGUUUUUCUCUGGCUUAAAUUUGAGCCAGAAAUUUUUAUUCUUUCUUAGGCUUUCAUCACAAUGGCACCCAAGCCACCCACUUCCUUCAACUGGGUCAAAUCCAUCGUCACAAACAGUACGCUUGAUGACUUUGUGAAGACCGGCUAUUUGUCGAAGAAGGAGGUUAUGUCCUAUCGUGUUCUUGACCCGGCAGAGGAAAUUCCCCAGCCCAAAGCAGGGGAAGUCAUCAUUUUUACUGACCACAUGAACCGUGGUUUUUCACCACCCGGCUCAAAAUUCUUUAGAGACGUCCUGCACUUCUUUGACCACCGUCCUCAAGACACCGGACCCAAUUCCGUGUCUAACAUUUGCAAUUUUCAAGUGUUCAACAAGGUAUAUCUUGGAGAAGAACCCAGCUUGCUACUCUUUAGAGAGUUAUUAUACUUGAACCGCUAGAACGAGUGUGCCAACGGACAAAGCUUGGAACUUGGCGGUGUCUCAAUCCAACGUCGGAGAGACGUAAUUUUUCCUUAUUCUAACCCACCAAGUCAUCCCAAAGACUGGAACUAGACAUGGUUCUAUUGUCAAGACACUUCUCCGGCUAAUGAAAAUCCUCUGCCCGGCUUUCGUGCUCUGCGCCUGGAGUCCAAACAUCCACUUCCUGACAAGAUAACAGCGGCCGAACGCAAGACGCUUGCCUCCACCCUGGCUAAAAUCAAGGCUCUUCUGAGGAACGGGCUAAAUGGUACUGAUUUAGUCCGGGUUUGGCUCUCCUGGCGGGUCAUUCCAUUGAGUCACCGCCCCGGCCUGAUGUGCACCUACACAGGCAAGAAAGAUGAUCCUCUGCGGCACAGUUCUGACGAUUUUCCUGACCACAUCAUCAACGACAUGACCAAGACCCUCCUAAAUGAAAGCUGAGCAAACUAUCAUUUUCAAGUCCCACAUGCAAGGAUGAAGAGGUAACUAUCAUUUCCUCUGACUCCGAGCCUUUGCCAAGACACAAAAUCCAAAGAGUAACCCAGAACAUAAGAUUUUCACAUCCCUUAGCUUAUCAAGAUCCUCAAUUUCUUUUGAAGUGACAGAUUCAUGAGAGCCGGUGGAAGACCCGGAUCAGCAAGGAUACGGAACUCUCCUCCGGCUUACCGAACACUCCAAGGAAGCGCCAGAACGAGGUCACCUCCGAUUUAACUCUCUUUUAUCCUUUGGCGGGUCUCAUUCGUCAACCACUCAACUCUUCUGACACGAAUUAUAAGGAAACUUCACCUUCCUUCGGCGACUCAAUGAAGUCCAAUUUGUCGGCUUUCAAGACAGCUCUAGGGUAAUGAUAACCUGCUUAUCCUGUGUUUGUCUCAAUUCAUUGUAUUUGCGCUGGCCCUUUGAUCUUAUGCAGCAGAAAAGCAAAGACCAACAAAAAGGUGAAGAAGAACAAACCGGCCGAAGAGCUGAUCUUCAAAGAGAUGGAACUUGGAACGGCCGCACCUGAAACCUCAACUCAUGAGCCGCCACCUGAGCCAGCUCAUGACACGCCAAUACCAAUUGCUGAUCCGCCUACCGAGCGAGCCGCCGAUGGCUCUGAAAACCCGAAAGUCCCUAGCCCGGCCAGGACGGAUGAUCCUCAAGACCCUGAUGUCGAGAUCACCAAGACUGGCUACAUUGAGCCGGGGAGGCCAACUGUGCUGGCCAAAUGUUCCGCCAAAGAGGAGCUUCUGGAAUGCCGCAGGGUCAAGCUUUAUGUUGCUGAUUAUACUCAUAUGAGUAUUGGGUAGGUUUUUUCUGGCUAUCUGAGCCAAGUACACAGCAGCCGUGACGUUGAAAUUAAUAUGGUGAAGCAGAUGCACCAGAAGUUUGAGGUACAAUCCCUUCUCUUUACUAAUUUAUCCUUGUUAUGCUAGCCCCCAAGUCUAUUGCCUAUGAUGAAUAUGUUGUAGACUUAAAAACAAGCUUAAUAACAUUAGUGAUAUAUUUGGAUAACAUGUAAGAAACCGGCUUACUCCGUAGUCCCCAAGGGUCGGCUUAAUCAACAUGGUUGAGCCGGUCCUUCAUAUGCUUGUGUAGAAUAAACACUUGAAGAACUUUAACAACAAUAUGCAUUAGCCCCCAAGUGCCAAGUACUCUUGCUUGCAAAGUGCUUGGGACUUACUCUCAUGAACCGCCACUGAAGUAAAAUUCUUUGGUAAACAUUAGCCCCCAAGUGCCAAGUGUUGUUGCUUGCAAAAGGCUUGGGACUUAAUAUUGUAAGAUAAUAGUCAUGACUUUGACCCGGUAUUUGUACAUGCCACCACCAGUCAAUUUGAAUCAGAAAUAUAUGACCUGAAGAACCGCCUAGAAGCACAAGAGAUGGAAACCCAAAGAGCCAACUCCAAGUUUUAAUUCAGUAUAUCUGAACAAGAGAAACUGAAAAAAGACUUUGAAAUGGAGAAGAAGGCUUAGGCUAACGAAAAGAUUGCUUUGAUUAAUCGAGCUGAGAAAACAGAGGCGGCUCUUGAAGAGAUGACCAUCGAAUUAUUCGGCUUAAAACGCCAUGUCUCUCAGAUGGUCUUAGCAAUCUUUGGUAAGUCACCCAACAAGUGUCAAAUAUUUGAAUCUUUCUAGUAAUCAUAUAAAUUGUCAUUAACUCACCUGACAUUGCUAUGGAGGCCCCAGCAGUUCAAAUCUUAAUCAAGAUAUGCUGAUCAAGUUGAAGGUAGUUUACACGCUGGUGGAACAACUCUACACCAGGUCUCAGCGUGCCUUGGUCACAGUGGCCCUGUCAAAUGAAGUGCCCACAACUCCUGGUGGAUGUGCUAAGGAAACUCUUUGUGCUGCCCCAGCGAUUCACUGAACUAAGGCAAUCAUCUGCAAGAGCCGGAGCCGUGGCUGCCUUAAGUCGGGCCAAAGCUUGGCUACCGGAGUUAGACCCGGCCGACAUCGCCAUUGGUUAUCCCAGCCUUAAGGAGGAUGGCAUUCCCUUUGAACAGGAAGACUUUUCCACUUGUGUGAAGGAGAUACGCCCCGUGGCCACCCUGAUAGCUGAUGAAGCAGAUCUCACCAAGUACCAGCCGGGUUAUGACACGGAGAAUUCCAACACCACAUUAUAAAGUGACCAACCUGAUCCCUCCACUCCGUAAGCAUACCUUCGCCCCUGAAGCUAACCCGGCCGAACUAAUUAAUGAUGAAGCUGGAUUUGAAGCUUUGAAUGGCACUGACUGGUCAUCAUCAACCUUCCAGGAAAGGGAACAUGGCGAAGAAGCAGAGAGGGCUGACCCAGACGGUUCAGGUCAACAUGAGAAUUAAUCCACCAGGCGGCUCACACCUGUGAUGUGCUGAAAAACAAUAGUAAUCAUUUGGUCUCAGGGAGUCAUGUAAUAGAGUAGAAAUAACUUUGCUUUGUCGUGUCAUCAUGCAUGUUUUUGGUUCUCAAUACUAUUAAGCCGCCAUCUUAUGUUCACCCAUAUUAAACUUAUCAUCUGUUUUCCGCAUGCUUGAGCAAGUCUUUUAACGGUCCUGCACACAGAAAUAGAUCACAAGAUCCCUUGGCGGAUUACCGCAAGGCGGGUCAUAAUAUCUUGACAUAUAACCAUUAAGAUGGAAAAAGAAUCACAGAUAAGCCUGUUGUGACAUAUAAUUUUGAAACACAACUAUAAUAUCAUACCCGUGAUCUUUGAUUUGUACUGCCGGUUUAUAUAACUCAAACAGUAAGGGUGAUAACCCAAUCAUUGGAAAUUAACACUUCCAGAGAUACGAUGAUUCUCAUAUGUUGUCGACUUAUCAUCCAAGAUCAAGCCGGGUUAAAUUUAAACCACACUUACACUUAGAUAUUUUAACAAAAAAGUCUCAAAUCAAAACAAUAGCUGCUUCAAAUAAAACUUAAACCAAAUAGAAUGAAAAAAUUCAAGGCUUCUGAUUCGAAUACGAUUAGUAAACCGUUCCAAAGGGGUUAAGCUAGGAUUCGAAUACGAUCAUAUAGCCCCCAGUGGCUUUGGCGUUGCACCGAUCAAGAGGGUACCGAUAGCUAUGUUCUCUUUGGUCCGAAUACGACCUAUGUUUGAACAGGAAGCCCCCUAAUGACCUUGAGAGUUUUUUAACGACUCUGAUUCAAAUACGAUCAAAGUCGGACCCAAAAGGGGUUAAGCUAUGAUUCGAAUACGAUCAAAGUCGGACCCAAAAGGGGUUAAGCUAUGAUUUGAAUACGAUCAAGAAGCCCCCUAGCGAGCUUGGCAUUGUGCCGAUCAAGAGUGUACUGACAGCUAUGUUCUCUUUGGUUCGUCUAUCGGCGUACUAGAGCCCAUUCACUGCCAGCGGUAUCCACCUCGCCGGACCUGCUUCUGUGGCCGCAUAUAACCCUUCCACCUCCCCUAGAAACAAGUAGACUGCUCAUCCACCACUGUACCACAACCUAUUCAGUGUCGGCCUUGUCCACGGCAUUGGAUCUGCUUCGCCGGUACUCUCGUCAACCGUAGCGCAUCUGCAGCGGCCCAUUCGUACUCCCCAUCAGAGAUGCUUCGUCCACACCCGCCGGAGCCGCCCCACCGAUGCCCCCGUCGGCGACCUCUGAUCCUCUUCGCCGACACCUUCCUCAACCCUACCGGAGCUACUUCACCGACACCAUCAUCAACCCUACCGGAGUAGCUUCGCCUAUACCAUUCUCAACCCUACCGGGGCCGCUUUGCCAACUCACAAGUCCACGGCCUCAGAUCUACUUCCUCGCACCCUCAUCCAACCUAUCGGAGGAGCUUCUGACGCCCCGUCCACGGUCGCAAAUCCGCAUCGUUGACACCAUCCUUAACCCAACCACCUGAGCAGCUUCACCGACGCCCUCGUCCACGGCCACAGAUCCUUCGCCCACACUGUAGUCCACCCUACCGGAGCCGCUCCACAAACACCUUACUCGACGGUUCUAGAUCUCCAUACCGGACCCCGACAGCUAGCGCAGCGUCAUCACCCUUGACGUUUCUGACCGGAUUCCUACCAUCUGGCAAGAUGCCAAGCACCCGCCACGACCUAGGUACUUGUCACCUUUAAACCCGUCCAACAUCACCUGCCCGAUGUACUUCAAAUAUACUAACAGGUCGCUGUUACAUGUUAUGCAGUUGGCAAAAACUACAAGGACGAUGUUUCUUCUGGAUCUAACAGCUUGGCCAACUAAGAUCCUGGACUGAGGCAUUGCUAUGAUCUUGUAAGUGCGUCUCUCUCUCUCUCUCUCUCUUGUAUUGUUCUGUGCCUGACGGCGUGCUUUGCUAGGAUUUUCGACCAGUAAUCCCUUUGUGCAGACAAUGAUUUCUACUACUGGCUGCCAAAUUAGAUAUGUAGAUGUCAUAGAUGAUACUACCUUGUACCUCCGUUCCAAAAUAUAAGUCUUUCUAGAGAUUCCACUAUAGGCUAAAUAUGGAGCAAAAUGAGUAAAUCAACACUCGAAAAUGCAUCUAUAUACAUCUGUAUGUGGUCCAUACUGGAAUCUCUACAAAGACAUAUAUUUAGGAACAAAGGAAGUACAUUACACAAAAUUGUAGGUGGCAUGUAGGAACUCCAGUGCACUACAUUAGGCUCACUUAGAGUGCCUACUAGUCCAGCACACAGAGUCAUGGCUAGUUUAUGCUACGCACACAAUCAUUACUUGGUGGUUUAAAUAUGCGCAAGGGAUAUGCAAUGUAUUAUCAUGUAGAGAUGUCUGAAACUAGCCGUGUCAACUUGCAGAUAGGGUUACACAAUGAAAAAGUACAAGAUGUAUGUGGGAAUUUCAUGGAACAUCACAAAAAAAGGAGAGGCAGCGGUGAGCCUAUACAGUGUGCUAUGGUAGGUCACUCCUCCGUUGCAAUCAUCGUGACAUGUUAUUUGUAUGUCAGUUCUAUUGGCCAAGUUUCUUAGGGAUAAUUAUUAUGAGUUAUCCUAAGAAAAUAAGCACCUGUGAAUAUAAGCUCCAUGUAAUAAGCCAACCAGUUCUUUCAUUGCCUUCCUUUUCAGCUUAUCUUUGGUAUGAUCAGUGAGAAGUCUAGAUUGCAUUAUAUUUUUUCAUUCUGCUGCCCAUAUGAAAAUUAAUUUGACUUGCAAACAUCACAAAUUGAACCCAAUGCAGUAAUUAAUAUGAUAGGAAAACAGACCAUCACUAUUUGUUCAAAAUGCAAAUACAAAGAUACCAUCUACUUGGCACAAUCUACUUUGGUCAAUGUCUUCCAUAGAGAUCCCAUUGCCUAAUUUAAACGAAGAAUGCAUGACCCACAUUUAAAUGAAGAACAAUUAUUUAUUGAAAUUCAAUGGUCCAAGUGUCUUGUUAUUAUCAUAUAGCAGCACCACCUGAAAGCAUCAUAUAGCAGCAGCAGCUCAUAGCAACUCAUCAUACAGCAGCAUCAACAGUGUGCAAUUCAUCAUAUACCAGCAGUAGCUCAUAGCAAUUCAUCAUAUAGCAGCAACAGGAGCAGCUCAUGGCAAUUCAUCAUAUAGCAGUAGCAGGAGAAGCUCAUAGCAAUUCAUCAUACAACAGCAGCAGGAGCAGCUUAUAGCAACUCAUCAUAUAGCAGCAACAUCUCAUAGAAAUUCAUCAUAUAGCAGCAGCAGCUCAUAGAAAUUCAUCAUAUAGCAGCAGUAGGAGCAGCUCAUAGCAAUGCAUCAUAUAGCAGCAGCAGAAGUAGCUCAUAGCAAUUCAUCGUAUAGUGGAUCAGAAUGAAAAUUUGGCAAAAAAAUCAGAGGAGAUCUUCACCUUGUAGGAUGUGCUCAUCCCUUAACAGCACCUCAAGGCCACAACCUUGGAGGAGGGGAGGGGGAAUAAGGUGCCUUCUGCCGUAGUGUGGCAUCAGCUGUAGUUGUGCGGCGCCCGUCGGAGUAGUGCGUUGGACGGACCACAGUGGAGCAGCUGCCGGAGACCAUGAGAAUGAGGGGCGACUCCAUAGGGAGGAGCAAGCGGAGAGAUUUGCCCCUACCUGCCGGCCAUGUAGCCUAGCUGGACAGAGCAUCAUUAAGGACCAGGCCAGAUGGUACCAGUGGUGAUGGCUCGCUGGAGGAACCCUAGUGCUCCAGGCAGGGGAUCAAGGUGGAGGGAAAGGGGAGAGGAGAUGCAAGUGGGCAGGGCAAUGAAUGCUUCCUUGUUUGUUUUUACUUGAGGGUCAGGUGUGACGCAGGCGUGAGCAGUUGCAUUUUGAGUGUAAUAUAGGAAGACAACAAAGUCAUUUCACUAUUCCCCUUCCGUUCAAUUUUUAGUGAGGUUCUACCUAAAACACCCCCUCCAAAGCGAAAUAAGUUAAGCCCAAGCCCAUAACUCAAAAAUGACUUCUUUACAUCGUUUAUGGCUUAUUUUGACAAUAAGCCCUGAAAAGGUGGAAUCGAACUGGCCCUUAACCUGCAAUUCAAUUGUGCGUGCAAUGAUGAGUCACUCCUGCCUGCUAUAGUGUACAUUUAGGCAUCAACAUACAUGGCAUAACCUAAUACAUGUGCGUUCCAUUGUAGAAUCUGGAAUAUGCAAUGUUUAUGUUAGUUCAUACGUUGCACAUGAUGUUUAAAUGCCCCUUAAAUCUGGUCAGUCAAGUGAUGGUCUUUAAGCCUCCUUAUUUGCUUCUUUUCUUGAUAUGUAAGAUUUGCUCACACAUCUGUUCAAUUGCUUGUUUGCAUCAGCCAGCCAUACUAGGACUGUUUGCUUUGAUUACUUGCUGUUCCUGACCUAACACUCUAACAGAGCUUGUCAAUGAUUUAAACACUAAGGGCUCCUGUAGUGGGGCCUUGUCUAACUCAUAGGUGACAUAAAGGUUUGGUUGUACACUAAAGUAGGCUCUCCAAGAGUACAUGGAGAUCCAGUUCGAAGUUAUGCCUAGUUUUUACAUAGUGCAUACAUAGUAAAUGCUCAUUGCAUUGUGUGCAAGUGCAAGAGAUGUAGCAUGUUUCAUUAUGUGGUGUUGUUUUGUUAUAAUCUCAUCCUUUUGUGUUGUUCACAGACUGGAAAGUAUGCAUAUUUAUCUUCCAAGGAGACGAGUAACUAGUUUGUGUCACCUUGUAGAGGGGGUGCAAUGAAGAUAAGAUUGAGGAUUUACAAGUAAAAGAUGUUAGGAAGGAGCCUUGCAAGAGAAGUAGGAGCUGCGUUAAGCCUCUUCAACCAGUUAAGGUAAGUCACUGUAUCCAACUCAACAAUUCAAUUCCUUGUUUGUUUCAGGCAUAGUUAAUUUGCUCUUUUUAGUUGCUUUAUUUGUCCUCAGUUAAUGAGAUGCCCAAACAAUGAUGCCUGAUGUUGGGUACGCGUAUAACUAUUAGUUGACAUAAUUAAAGGCCUUACCAUUUAAUUACUGUACCGAAGUGUGACUGAAGCUUUGAAGUCUAUUAACCAACUAUUAUUGCAUGAGGCUCACAAUCUAGUUUAUACUAGGAUAAUGAUUGCAUAGUUUUGCUUGCUGUAGUAGGUUUGUUGUCACACCCUGCAUUUUGUAACAUUUCAUUUGCAUUAAUAAAGCAUGAAAAUUUGGACCAACAAAAACUCUCGCAUUAUCUGGCUUUUAUUUGGAGUUGGUUUUCUCUCUGUGAUUUUAAGUGCUCCUUAAAGUCAACACAACUCCACCUUAUAUACUUCAUCUCCUUGCCCCAAACUUCUGCCCAAUGAUCAUGCCAUGUGUAUAGAGCAAUAUAAUAUUUUCAUACAAAUUUUUUUUGGCCAAAUAGUAUUUUCAAAAAUUAGUUUUCCAAAACCCCCUAAAUUGAGGUUUGCACUGCAAGUACUUGAUUUGGGGUAUGAAAAAUAUUUCAAAAGGUAUAUUUGAAUCCUAUUAGAUGUAGGACUCCCAUAAACCACAAAAAUAUAAUUUUAAAAUCUAUUUUCCUAUUUUAUUUAAACGCUUUUUCUUAAGGCCAGAAAUGGUCUUUAAUAGGGAAAAAUUAUUUUAUUGUUUCGAAAAUAUUUGACAAAAAUCAGGGAAACUCAGUGGACAUAUAUUUUCCAUAUAUAAGAGUUUCAACACAUGGUCAUGUUCAAAAUAUUGGACAAAACCUCCCCAAACCAUUUCUGCCCAUUUCAAGGAUUUGAAAUAUUUCUACAGGAAAUAUUUUCAAAAAAAUCCAAGGAAAUUCCAGCAAGUCACAAGUGCAUAUUGUGAUCACCUUGCAAAGCCUCAUGGCAAUUAAAGUCAUUUUUGUUCACCAAAAUGCCCCAAAACCCUCUCUGACCAGAAUCAAAAUUGAACUACGUUGUACUACCAACUAUCUCUCCUUGAUCCCAAAUUUUGUGAUCUUGAUCACAUGACCAAAUGAGGCCACCACACCAAGUGGUGCAUCAAGGAGAAGUGAUUUACUCAACUAGAUCUGCACAAGUCCAUUCCUGCCAAUUUAUAGGGUUUACAAAAGUUGCAUUGGCAACUUUGCCCAAAUGAGCUCAAAAUGGGUGGAAGGCCCUAAUUAUAUGUGCCAUUUCACCCUAUGGAGUAACAAGGCUAAUGGAAAUCAUCUACUUGCCCAAACCAGCAUCAAAUGCCUUCUGCCACUUUACCAAAAUCCCAUUUUUGUCCUCUCCCACUAAUCUCCAUGAGCUCUUCUUUUUACCACAACCCCUCCUAGAUCCCCUCUAUCUCCUGGAUGCUUUCCUGCCCGAGGAAGCAAUGAUGAAGGGAGGGGGAACCCCAUUUUCUUCUCUGGACAGCAGAUUCCCCUCUCUCUCUCAGCCUCCUUCUCUCCCCUCAGCUUUUCAGAGCAUCCAAGGCUCUCUCCAGCUUUUGCCCAUGCCCCCUCCAGCUGCCAGACACAAGUGGACGCGCGUAGAUGCGGGAAACCGCGGAUGCCGGCCAAAGUCGCGCUCUGGAGCGCCUGGCAAGGCACCCGACAGUUGACGCCGUGUCUCCCGACCACCUCGAGCCUCCCCCGCGCGCCAGUUGAUGCCCCUUGACGUCCGCUCCACGCCAGCAGGCCGCCCACUUGCUCCCGCGCCCUCCUCUCUCUCCUGCAUCUCGCGCCAGAGCGCCGCUCCGCUCGGCCAAUGCGUGCAUCGCUCCUGUGGCCCGCGUGCAGCUUGUCCCUUUCCUCCUCUCUCUCCCUGGCUCCCUAAACCACUCCCACGAACGCCCCCGAGCCUCCAUUCCCUCUCUAACGGCCACCCGAGCCGACCCCCCGGGCACCCAUAGGCCACGCCUACGGUGGACCUCGGCCAGCCUAUAUAAGGCAACGCCGAGCCCCUCUCUCACUCCCUGUCGCUCCCCCACCCUCCUAAUCAACCUCCCGCACUCCCCAUUCAUCUCCAAAACCGCCCGAGCUCAAGAUCGAGCCCAAGCUCCGCCGCUUCGGCUCGCCGGAGUUCGCGAGGUACAGGCCUCCCCCGCUCCUCCUCUGCCCCGAUCUGGAACCGCCGUGGCCCACUGACCAUUUCCCCUCUCUCCCCCACUUCUUUUGCAGCCAGAAACGGCCGGAGCCACCGCCGCCCGAAGCUCCUCCGCCGUGCCUCCUCGCCGCCGACGAACCAGGCAACUCUGGUGACGUCCACCACCUCCACCCGAAGGCGACUCGACGCUGAGUCCAUCCGUGCCUUCACUCGACCUCGUCGUGCCCCGCAUCGUCACCGGUGAGCCUGCCGACCCUCUGUCACAGGGUUAGGGAUGACAGGCGGGCCCCGCCUGUCAGCCUCUCCCCUCCAUCGCCCCUCUCUCUCUCUCGCUGACGCCUGGGCCCCGCCCGUCAGGUUUAAACCUGGCGUGUGCGCGUGCACUAGUGCGCUGGGCCGCCACUCUGGCUGGGCCUGCUGCGCUGCGGCUGUUCUGGCCCAUCAGGCACAGAGCCCUUUUUCCUUUUCUUUUCUAUCUCUUUUCCAAAAGUUCCACAGGAUAAAAUACUUAUCCAAAUAAAUUAAUUCCAACUCCUAAAUUCCUAAAAUAUUGCAACCUAUUUAAUGGUGCAACUUUCAUUCAAAUCCAACAACCUUUUCUUCACUGUAAAUAUCUAAAUGUGAUUUUAAGCACUUAAAUAUACCUUUGUAAAUCCAUUUCUCCUAUUCUGCUACUCCAAAUCCAAAACUAGGAAUUUUCCCCUUCUUAGUUUUCACCCUAGCAUUUAACAAAAAUGAGUUGACAUUUUUUUGAGCAAUUUGGUUUUUCUAUUUUAUUAUUGCCUUAUUUUCUCGUUAUUAUUUUGCGACGAUAGAUUGCGUUGCUGACGAAGGAGUUGGACCAGAAGACUUUGAAGGCCUAGAAGACUUUGUUGAGCCAGGCAAGCAGCCCUUUGACCAUGUCUAUGAAACCUUUUUUUAUGCAUGUCAUAUAGCACCAUAUUGUUGUUGCAACGGAAUCAUGAUGAGGUGGUAACCACUUUGAUGGUUUGCCACCAUACUUUCUCGUUGAUACUUGCAUUGUGCAUGACCCUACCUUCUUAUGAGGGUUAUGCCGGUGGGAGUAGAUAGGAUGCUAAAGUAGAUGCUACGCAAAAAGGGACGGGUAUAUGCAUGGUGAAGGAGACAAAGUAUUUUUAAAAGACUUUUUGAAAACCCCGUCGGGUGCCACUUAUGCCCGAGGGAGAUAAUGAGAUGGGUAACCACUUGAUGACGAAGUGGUGUACCAAGGCAAGUGUGUGUGUGUUGUUUUCAAAACGGAUUGGUUUAAGUUGCGACCGUUAUUCCAACCUUACAUGCGCAACCACUCUACCCUUAUAUGGGAAAGGGCAUUAUUGAUUACCUAGGCCGAUACUAGCUUGGAGCCCGCAUUGCUAGUGACGGGGAGAGUUGGUGCUCUCUCUCGGGACGGGGUCGUGCCAGGUAGGGCGGCCAUGACUAUUUUUACAGGGCACCGGAUACACCGUUGUGUCCCCUCUCGGAUGUUACGAUCUCGAGUGAGUCUCGUAUGAUGUACAUCAUAAGGAUACGGAACAACGAGUGGACUCCAUGUUAGUGUCGUCUAGGGAAAGGUAGUGAUCGGGUGCUUACCCCGGGUACUUGAGGUAUCGCGGGUCGUGGAUGACACGGAAGUUCCCCGGAUCUUGUGGGUAAAGUGUGCAACCUCUGCAGAGUGUAAAACUAUUAGAAUAGCCGUGUCCACAGUCAAGGAUAGUUGGGUAACCGCUCUUGGGCUACGUCCACAUGUUUACAAACUAGUGUAUGUUUGGAUAAGUGGGAAAUAUCUACUUGGGUCAAGUCAAGAGACUUGACAUGAUUGAGUUGGGUUGGUGCCCACUCUAUUUAUGUUGAUACCUGUAACCUUUCCUCAUGGUUACUUGAAUUCUCUUGAUGCAUGUCUUACAAGUUGUUGAACAUGUCACUGCAUUCAAAACUAGCUUUCUGCUAAAAUUUACCUAUAUCAUGUAUUGUUACAUCUUGGACCAAAACAUGGGUUGCUUGCGAGUACAUUCAAAGUACUCAUUGGCUUGCCACUGGUUAUUUAAUUGACCAGGCAUGGAAGAACCGGAGUUCGAAGAAGAGUUCUUUGGAGACGAACAUGCGAACUAGGACGUUUCCCAGUCAGAAUGCCUAUAGGGUUAAGGCAGAUGGCAUGGGUUCUACUUAUCAAUGAAGAUUUCCGCUGCUUGUGUUUUAUUUGAAGUUCAUCCCUUAAAGCUUUAUCAAUGUAAGACUUGACCAUAAUGGUCAUAAUUUAUGUAAGACGGUUUGUAUGGAUGUAAGACUCUUGUUAUUCAGCUUCUGUGUGUUCAGUGAGCAUUGAUCUCUGGGAUCACUGUACACGUGCAUUCGGUGAUCACGACUUAUGAGUCGGGGUCCCCACAUUUGUAUGAAUCCCUCUGCUGUUCAUUAUGCUCCCUAAGACUUUAGUUGAGCUACAGAAUGGCCAACUGCUUGCUUACUUAUACGCAAUGUGAUGUCUAAAUUUGUAACUUGUCUGUGUUUUGGAUUGGGCCCCAACAUCAUGCUCCUCUGGUGAGCUAAGAGAGAUUUCUGUAUGCAGGCUGCACAGACUACCUUUUUUAUAAUUUUUAAAAUAUCACCUGCUUAUGCUUCAUGAUGUGUAACAUUAUUGUUAGUCCCUGUUUUGCCAUGUACAAAAUAUUCUGUCUUGCUCGCUUCACUCUUGUAACUAUAUUUUUGCCCUAGUCAUGUGUACUUACAGAAACAUUUCGGGAUGAAGUGACAUCAACAAAAAGAUCUGCAAGCAGUGCGGCAUGGCCGUUACCGAAUGAUUAUGGAUUGGAAUUGGAAUGUGCUGAUGCUCUCGAGCAUCAACUAGAGGUGGCAAGACAACGUGUACAUGAUUCUCAACGUGUCGGAUUUAGGGUUUCGGCAAAACCCUUGAGGUUCGAACACUUGGGUGCGCACAAAGAUUUCCCCCUACUGAAUCUCGCUCUCAGCCUCGCCGCGAUCCCUAAGCUUAGCUCGAUGAACUCACAACACAAGAGACACAAGGUUUAUACAGGUUUGGGCCACCGUUGUGGUGUAAUACCCUACUCCUGUGUGGUGGUGGUGGAUUGGCUCUUGGGCUGAGGAUGAACAGUACAAGGGAAGAACAGCCUCCUGAGGAGAGGUGUUCUUGUGCUUGGUGGGUUGCUCGGGGAGGAAUCGAUUGAUCCCUUUCUACUGUGGUGGCUGGUCCUAUUUAUAGAGGCUCUGGUCCUCUCCCCAAAUAUUGAGCGGGAAGAGAUCCAACGGCGACCAAUUUGAAAGGGGACAUCUAGUACAAGGUAUCCAUACUAAAGGCGGUCUUCGCCUGUCAAAGGCGCUAGUGGUGAAACCGUCUUGGGUUCCACGAUGACCUCCAUCCUGCCGUCCUGCUGGUCUUGGUCUUGUUGCACCGAUAUCGAAACCUUUGCCUAAUGCCUCGGUACUCCACGCCUGCGCUUGCCCCCUUAGCACCAAAGGGGAAACGAGGACACUACAUGCGCUGGCGCCCGCCUGGCCUUGGUCGUCAUGGCUUGCGUCACGGGAACCUUGCGAGGUACCCUUUGCCUUGAUCUCUCCGCCUCCCUCGCGAGCCUGUCUAGUGAGGCCGCUCCUGAGGAGGCCUUGUAUCGCCCGCCCCGUGAGGCUUGGCCCCUCCCGAGGGUAUUGAGUGUUGGUUGAUGAAGACGGGCCGUACUGGGCCACUGGUGGAGCCAUGCCAUGGGCCCCAGGCAGGCAAGUCUGGGGACCCUCGUUCCCAGAACACCGACAGUAGCCCCCGGGCCCAAGGCGCGCUCGUACUUGGCUUCACGGCGAAGACAAAGGGCAAGUGCGGAGCGCCACGGGCCCCAACAGCAUGCGGCCUUAGUCAACGCGUGGCGACUGAUUGGACAUGGGCGUCUCCGCUUCCCCAUGCUGCCCCAAUAUCCGCCUGGCUAGGCGGCCAUGGCACCCUACACAAUUAUUUCCUCCUCCCAAGCGGCGUGUUCCCUAUCCUUCCUUCUUCCUCGAGCCCCUGUCUCUGCUUCCAAUCUGACUCGAGCUCUGUCCCCUCCAUUGCCAUGGCGCCGACUAGCACAGAGAGAGGGAAGAAGCCUCUGUCCUAAGCCAAUCCGCCCACGACAAUCGAGCCCGCCGUCGGCCGAUCACGGGUACUCAACCGGGAGGCCCCGGGCAAGGUCUGCCAUGCGCUCGCUUCCAGCUUCAAUGCGUAGGGAGGGAUGGUGGCCUGGCCUGCGUCCCGAGCCUCCAUUGACAGGAUAGCCACUGAGGUUCGGUUCUUCGUCUACGCCCUGUGGGCUGGCCUGGUUCCUCCUUUCUCCGCCUUCUUCAAUGCAGUGCUUUCCCAUUACCAGAUUCACAUGCUGCAUAUCGAUCCCCAAUCCGUUGCCCUUCUUGCUGUCUUCGCCUUUGUUUGCGAGGACAUGGUGGGCAUUGCUCCUUCCGUUGCCCUCUUGCGCCAUUUCUUCUCACUGCAUCGGACCAACCCCUCGCAGUGCUCAGGGUGCCUGAGCUUCCAGGUUGUGGCAGAGACGACCGCCUCGAGGAUUGAUUUUGAUCUCCCACCGUCCACGAGCGGGUUUCGGAUGUGGUGGGUGUACGUGGAUGUCAGAGUGCUCAGCCCCUGCUCUUGCCUCCGUCGUCGCCCGCCAUCCCAACUCCAGCUGGGGCCAUGAGAGGCUCGCGACUUCUCGCCUUUCCUUCGUCUGGCUCCGGUUGAAGAGGUUGAGAGACCUUAGCAUGAUUGCGCCCCAGGUGGUGAAGGAGUUCCUCCGGCGUCGCGUUGCCCCAAUCCAACACCAUUCCCGGCCGAUGUGGGCCCUGGCCGGUGACCAGGAUCGCAUGAGGCUUCAGGAGUCGGAGCUCUCGCCCGAAGCGCGAAGGACGGUGCUUGAAGUCUUGACUGGCAACCCCUCGCCAGGCAAUAUGCCACAAGGGGGUUGCCUCUUGUAUCUUUGCUCGAAUAGGGUUCAGUUCGCGAGGCAGAUGCCUUCCUUCGACAAAUGGGGGCUGCGCCCGGUUGGCCUUGUGGGGCCUCGUCACAAUCCUGUCAUUGUGACUCCCCUCCUUGUCGCCAGCAACGAGCUUGCCCCAAGGGUGGACGCAGGGAGGCAAGAAUCACUAGGGGUCGGCAGCAUAGGUGUCGAGGUGCCGACGCUGCUUGAGGUUCCCGAGGCUCCAUGCUCCGGAACUCGUGAGGCUCGCCCUGAGGCGGUCGUUGAGGGGGAGAGGCAGUCUGCGUCUCCUAAGGCCGAAGCUCCUGAGGCCUCGACAAGCCAGCAUGAGGUGGAGCCUGAUUGUUCUUCCCAGCUUGGCACUCCUGAGGUCGACCACCUGGGUGCAUCUCCAGCCGCACGCCGUGCUAGCCUCCACCUCCAACACCUUGGUCGGUUCCGUGUGGACUUCGCCGCACUUUGUAAGAGGAAGGAGUCUUCGAGCUGCAGUGGUGGCACCAUCCAGCCGCUGAAACGUAGGAAGUACAUCGCCAUUGACAGGUAAGUACCUUAUCCUUGUAAUUUCCCAAUCACUGCUUCCCUUCCUGACUGUGGCUCUUCAGGAUCCCUCCUGCCAAGCCCGCGGAGUCUCUCGAGAAGCAACCUCCUCUGGCCUUGCCUUCAUCACUGGCCUUGAGUGCCCCAAGCCUGCAUGCCGCCCCUGGUGCGGGGUCAGCCGGAGAAGCAAGCCUGCCUGCAAGGUGCCUUGAGCCCGUGCCCUAGCCGCCUUUCCUUCUCAACCUCGUUUGGAGCGCGGCCAGCCUACCCAGGGCUCCUCCUCUGGUCGUGGACGGCAACUGGUUGCCAUUGAGCCUAGGCCCCUCUUCAAGUGGAGAGCUUGCGCCGGUCCGGGUCCCUUGCAUGGCCUGGCCAGCGACCGAGGGGGCGCCAGCCCCCAGCCCCCUGAUGAGAGGGGGCGAACCGCUUCAUACCCCGCCAACAGCGCCCAUGACGGGGGACAAUGAUACGUCUCCGUCGUGUCUACAUUUCCAAACACGUUUUCCCUUGUUUUGGACUCUAACUUGCAUGAUUUGAAUGAAACUAACCCAGACUGAUGCUGUUUUCAGCUAAACUGCCAUGUCAUUGUUUAUUGUGCAGAAAACAAAAGUUCUCGGAAUGACCUGAAAAUCCACAGAGAUAACUUUUGGAAAAUAUAAAAAAUACUGGCAAAAGAAUCAAGGCCAGGGUGCCCACACCCUAUCCACGAGGGUGGGGGGCGCGCCCCCUCCCCCUGGGCGCGCCCCCUGUCUCGUGGGCCCCCUGAUGCUCCACCGACCUCAACUCCAACUCUAUAUAUUCCGUUUCGCAGAGAAAAAACCAGAGAGAAAGUUUCAUCGCAUUUUACGAUACGGAGCCACCACCAAGCCCUAAUCUCUCUCGGGACGGAUGAUCUGGAGUUGGUCCGGGGCUCCAGAGAGGGGGAUUCAUCGCUAUCGUCAUCAUCAACCAUCCUCCAUGACCAAUUUCAUGAUGCUCACCGCCGUGCAUGAGUAAUUCCAUCGUAGGCUUGCUGGACGGUGAUGGGUUGGAUGAGAUUUACCAUGUAAUCAAGUUAGUUUUGUUAGGGUUUGAUCCCUAGUAUCCACUAUGUUCUGAGAUUGAUGUUGCUAUGACUUUUCUAUGCUUAAUGCUUGUCACUAGGGCCCGAGUGCCAUGAUUUCAGAUCUGAACCUAUUAUGUUUUCAUGAAUAUAUGUGAGUUCUUGAUCCUAUCUUGCAAGUCUAUUGUCACCUAUUAUGUUUUAUGACCCGACAACCCCGAAGUGACAAUAAUCAGGAUACUUAUCGGUGAUGACCGUAGUUUGAGGAGUUCAUGUAUUCACUAUGUGUUAAUGCUUUGGCCCGGUACUCUAUUAAAAGGAGGCCUUAAUAUCCCUUAGUUUCCACUAGGACCCCGUUUCCAUAGGAUGGUAGGACAAAAGAUGUCAUGCAAGUUCUUUUCCAUAAGCAUGUAUGACUAUAUCCAGAAUACAUGCCUACAUUACAUUGAUGAACUGGAGCUAGUUCUGUGUCACCCUAUGUUAUUACAUGAGGAAUCGCAUCCGACAUAAUUAUCCAUCACUGAUCCAAUGCCUACGAGAUUUUCAAAUAUUGUGCUUCGCUUAUUUACUUUUCCGUUGCUAUCUUUACUUUUGCCACUGUUACCAUUACUAUGAUACUACUUUGCUAGUAAAUACUUUGCUACAGAUACUAAGUUAUCUAGGUGUGGUUGAAUUGACAACUCAACUGCUAAUACUUGAGAACAUUCUUUGGCUCCCCUUGUGUCGAAUCAAUAAAUUUGGGUUGAAUACUCUACCCUUGAAAAUUGUUGCGAUCCCCUAUACUUGUGGGUUAUCAAGACUAAUUUCUGGCACCGUUGCCGGGAAGCACAGCUCUAUUCUUUGAGUCAAUUGGGAUUUAUAUCUGCUGAUCACUAUGAGGAACUUGAAAGGCGAAAGAACUAAGAUUUUUCCCUCAACUACGAGGGGAGGUAAGGAACUGCCAUCUAGCUUUGCACUAGAUUCUCCUUCUGUUUUGAGUAAGCUUGCGACACCUAAACCUGCUACUGCUAUGAAUUCUGAUAUGUCACAUGUUAUUGAUGAUGCCACUUCUGUUAUGCAUGAUACUUAUGAUGAGACUACUUCUAUGCUUGAUACUACUUUGCCAUUAGGUGAAUUUCUUGAUGAACAACUUGCUAGGGUUAGAGAGAAUGAAAUUAUUGAAGAUGAAAUUAUUCAUGAUAGUGAUGAUGAAGGUUCUCCCCCUAAAUAUGAAUUGCCUGUUGUUCCUGAGGGUUAUGUUUUGGACGAAGAAACUGCUAGAGAUCUUUUUGCUUGUAAUGAUAGAUCUGAUCUUAAGAAAUUACUAGCUAAACUUAAACAGAAAACUCUGAAUGCUAGAAUGAAAUAUGACCCUGCUUUUGCUACUUCACCUAUCUUUGUUAUUGAUAAGGAUUAUGAAUUCUCUGUUGAUCCUGAGAUAAUUACUUUAGUUGAAUCUGAUCCUUUUUAUGGCUAUGAAUUUGAAACUGUUGUGGCACAUCUUACUAAGUUAAAUGAUAUAGCCACCCUAUUCACUAAUGAUGAGAAGUCUUGCUAUUAUUAUAUCCUUAAGAUAUUUCCAUUCUCAUUAAAGGGUGAUGCUAAAACUUGGUUUAAUUCUCUUGUUCCUGGUUGUGUGCGUAGUCCCCAGUAUAUGAUUUAUUACUUCUCUACUAAACAUUUCCCUGCUCAAAAGAAACAAGCUGCCUUGCGGGAAAUAUAUAAUUUAGUGCAAAUCGAAGAAGAGAGUCUCCCACAAGCUUGGGGGAGGCUUCUCCGAUUACUUAAUGCUUUGCUUGAUCAUCCUCUUAACAAAAUGAAAUACUUGAUAUAUUUUAUAAUGGACUAACUGAUGCUUCCAAGGACCACUUGGAUAGUUGUGCUGGUUGUGUUUUUAGGGAAAGAACAGUCGAUCAAGCUGAAUUGUUAUUGAAUAAUAUGUUAACUAAUGAAAAUAAUUGGACUCUUCCUGAGCCAAUUGAGCCAACUCCUGAACCUAUUCUUAAACCUACUCCAAAGAAAAGGGGUGUUCUAUUUCUCAGUCCCGAAGACAUGCAAGAGGCAAAGAAAUCAAUGAAAGAAAAAGGUAUUAAAGCUGAAGAUGUUAAGAAUUUACCUCUUAUUGAAGAAAGACAUGGUCUAAAUAUACCGCCUAUUGAAGAAACAAAUUGUCUUGAUAACCCGACACAGGUAGUAAAGACCCUUUUUGAAUACUGCAGGGGCUGUUGUUGAUUGCAACAAAGGCAAUGUCACUUUUCAUGUUAAUGGUAAUGAGCAUACGGUACACUUUCCGAGGAAACAACCUCAAGUUCACAGCAUCAAUUCUAUUGGAAAAAUUCCAACUAUCAUUAUUGGAGGUUUUGAAUUUCCUCUCCCUACUGUCAAGAAAAAGUAUGAUAUUCUUAUUGUCGGGGAUGUGCAUAUCCCCGUUGAGGUAACCUAGUGUUAUUCGAAAUUUCUCCGGUUCCAUGUUAUUCAAAAUGAGUUUGUUAACAAGACUUGAUCAACCUUGUUAGUGGAUUCCAUUUGAUGAUCAUGAGAUGGAUGAAACUUGAUGGCACAACCUUCUGUACUCUCUUUUUACUUUGUGUUAUUUAGAAUAAAUAAAGAAAAAUAGUAUUAUUUGUUUGUUUUCUGAAUUAUCCAUGCCAUAAAAAAAUAUCCCAAAAAUAAAAGUGCUCCAAAUGCCCUGCAAAUUUAGUAUGAUUUUUAGGGAAUAUUUGAGGAUUUUAGGCAAUGAGAACACAGCAGGGGAUGCAAGCACCUGGCCACGAGGGUCUAGGGCACGCCCACUCCCCCUGGGCGCGCCCUCCUGCCUCGUGGGCCCAUGGUGGCCCUCCUUCACUUAUUCAUGCACACACACACUCCAUCUUCCUCCCAAAAAUAUCCCCAUCUAGCUCAAGCACGAGUUCUAGCUCAUUUUGCUGCGAUUUUCGAUCUCCUUGCUCAACGCUCCAUUCACGAAACUGCUUUGGGAGAUUGUUGCUUGGUAUAUCUCCACGUGAGGGUGAUAUGGAUUUGCCUGCCGCUUAUUUAGAUUUUGACGUGUCAGACACCGUUUUCUUGUGAGGAAUGAACAAUUCCUCCAGUAUCGACUAAUCUUUGAAAACCUUCGCGAUGUCCAUGUUACUCUCCCUGCUCCUUCCCUUUUUGAUUACCAGGAAAAACGAAGAUAUGUUGUUACCAGGGAAGAGGCAACCGAACACAAGAGGAGAGCGGAGGCAGCUUGCCAAUAUGUCGCAACUCAGGAGGCAUUGGCUGCUGCAUGUCAAUAUGACCCUAGAUAUAACUUUGGAUAUCAGCCAGACUAUCCUUGGCAUUAGACCAACUUAGGCCAAAAGCCUAAGCUUGGGGGAGUAUGUAUUUCUCACCAACAUUACAUUCAUGUUCACACACCUAUUCUAGUUGUCGGUGCUCAUACUCUUUCAUUGUAUUAUCCAUGCUAGUUUAUUUUCUGUUUCUAGGUUUCUUCUUGUGUGUUUGAUAAACCUUAAGAAAAACCAAAAAAAUAGUUACUUUAAUUUCCAUGCUUGUACUAGCAAUUAAAAAGAAAACCUAAAAAGAUUUCUCGUUCUUCUUUUACUUGUUGGGAGCUUUCCCAUGUAAGUAGUUUUAUUUUAUUUUCUUUCUUUUGGGGGUCGAGAGGAGAAGACCAUAUUGAAAAAGAUUAGUGGCUCUCAUAUGCAUGAUUGUUGAUUUAACUUGGAGCCCAUUUUACUUUUUCUUCUCUCUUGAAUUGAAUGCUUGCAGAUUCCAGCUUAGUCCAAUGCACGUGCACUAUUAUUAUUAUACACACCGUUCGGUCGUGCAAGUGAAAGGCAAUAAUGAUGAUAUAUGAUGGACUGAUUGAGAUGAGAAAAGCUGGUAUGAACUCGACCUCUCUUGUUUUUGUAAAUAUGAUGAGUUCAUCGUUCUUGAUUCAGCUUAUUAUGAAUAAACAUGUUUGCAAUGACAAUUAGAGAUUAUAGUUGCUUAUGCCAUGCUUAAUUAGCUAGGAGAUUAUAAUGGUUUACCUUGCGUGCCAACAUGCUAUUAAAAUGGUUGUGAUGUGGUAUGAUAGGGUUGUAUCCUCCUUUGAAUGAUUCGAGUGACUUGACUUGGCACAUGUUCACGCAUGUAGUUGAAAACAAAUCAACAUAGCCUUCACGAUAUUUAUGUUCAUGGUGGAUUAUAUCCUACUCAUGCUUGCACUCAGUUUUGAUUAAUUUUCAUGCAUGUUCGUGACUGUUGUCGCUCUCUCAGUUGGUCGCUUCCCAGUUUUUUGCUAGCCUUCACCUGUACUAAGUGGGAAUACUGCUUGUGCAUCCAAACUCCAUAAACCCAAAAGUUAUUCCAUAUGAGUCCACCAUACCUUCCUAUAUGCGGUAUUUACCUGCCGUUCCAAGUAAAUUUGUAUGUGCCAAACUCCAAACCUUCAGAUGAAAUUCUGUUUUAUAUGCUCGAGCAGCUCAUGUUUCAACUAGGGCUGUCUGUAUCUUCCAUGCUAGGUGGGUUAUUCUCAAGAGGAGUGGACUCCGCUCCUCAUUCACGAGAAAAUGACUGGUAACCGGGAUGCCCAGUCCCAUUAUCAAAAAGAUAAAAGCAAAUCAAAAUAAUUAAACAAAACUCCCCCAGGGCUGUUGCUAGUUGGAGGCACUAGUUGUUUCGAGCAAGCCAUGGAUUGAUGCCUGUUGGUGGUGGGGGAGUAUAAACUUUACCAUUCUGUUUGGGAACCGCCUAUAACAUAUGUAGCAUGGAAGAUAUCGAGAUCUCAUAGUUGUUACGUUGACAGUGAAAGUAUACCGCUCAAAAUGUUAUUCAUCUCUAUUUCAAAAUCGAGCUCUGGCACCUCUACAAAUCCCUGCUUCCCUCUGCGAAGGGCCUAUCUAUUUACUUUUAUGUUGAGUCAUCACCUUCUUAUUAAAAAGCACCUGCUAGAGAGUACACUGUCAUUUGCAUGCAGUACUAUUAGUUUAUAUUGGGUAUGACUUGACUGGAUCUCUUUUACCAUGAAUUACAAUGCUUUGUCAGUCCUUGAUCUUUAAAGGUGCUCUGCAUUUAUGUUUUGUGGUCUCAAAAAGGGCUAGCGAGAUACCAUCUUGUUAUAUCAUAUUAUGAUUGUUUUGAGAAAGUGUUGUCAUCCGAGAUUUAUUAUUAUUGCUCGCUAGUUGAUUAUGCCAUUGAUAUGAGUAAACAUGAGACCUAAGUAUUAUUGUGAAUAUGGUUAGUUCAUAAUCUUUGCUGAAAACUUGAAUGCUGGCUUUACAUAUUUACAACAACAAGGGCAAACAGAGUUUGUAAAAGUUUUUCUUUAUCACUUUCAGUUUAUCAAUUGAAUUUCUUGAGGACAAGCAAAGGUUUAAGCUUGGGGGAGUUGAUACAUCUCCGUCGUCUCUACUUUUCCAAACACUUUUGCCCUUGUUUUGGACUCUAACUUGCAUGAUCUGAAACUAACCCGGACUGACGCUAUUUUCAGCAGAACUGCCAUGGUGUUGUUUAUUGUGCAGAAAACAAAAGUUCUCGUAAUGACCUGAAAAUCCACAGAGAUAACUUUUGGUAAAUAUAAAAAAUACUGGCGAAAGAAUCAAGGCCAGGUGCCCACACCCUGUCCACGAGGGUGGGGGCGUGCCCCCUGUCUCGUGGGCCCCCUGAUGCUCCACCGACCUCAACUCGAACUCUAUAUAUUCUGUUUCACAGAGAAAAAAUUAGAGAGAAAGUUUCAUCGCGUUUUACGAUACAGAGCCGCCUCCAAGCCCUAAUCUCUCUCGGGAAGGCUGAUCUGGAGUCCGUUCGGGGCUCCGGAGAGGGGGAUUCAUCGCUGUCGUCAUCAUCAGCCAUCCUCCAUCACCAAUUUCAUGAUGCUCACCACCGUGCGUGAGUAAUUCCAUCGUAGGCUUGCUGGACGGUGAUGGGUUGGAUUAGAUUUACCAUGUAAUCAAGUUAGUUUUGUUAGGGUUUGAUCCCUAGUAUCCACUAUGUUCUGAGAUUGAUGUUGCUAUGACUUUGCUAUGCUUAAUGCUUGUCACUAGGGCCCGAGUGCCAUGAUUUCAGAUCUGAACCUAUUAUGUUUUCAUGAAUAUAUGUGAGUUCUUGAUCCUAUCUUGCAAGUCUAUAGUCACCUAUUAUGUGCUAUGAUCCGACAACCCCGAAGUGACCAUAAUCGGGAUACUUCUCGGUGAUGACCGUAGUUUGAGGAGUUCAUGUAUUCACUAUGUGAUAAUGCUUUGGUCCGGUACUCUAUUAAAAGGAGGCCUUAAUAUCCCUUAGUUUCCGCUAGGACCCCGCUGCCAUGGGAGGCUAGGACAAAAUAUGGCAUGCAAGUUCUUUUCCAUAAGCAUGUAUGACUAUACCAGGCAUACAUGCCUACAUUACAUUGAUGAACUGGAGCUAGUUCUGUGUCACCCUAUGUUAUAACUAUUACAUGAGGAAUCGCAUCCGACAUAAUUAUCCAUCACUGAUCCAAUGCCUACGAGCUUUUCACAUAUUGUGCUUCGCUUAUUUACUUUUCCGUUGCUACUGUUACAACUACUACAAAACUGCUAUCUUUACUUUUGCCACUGUUACCAUUACUAUCAUACUACUUUGCUACUAAAUACUUUGCUGCAGAUACUAAGUUAUCUAGGUGUGGUUGAAUUGAAGACUCAACUGCUAAUACUUGAGACUAUUCUUUGGCUCCCCUUGUGUCGAAUCAAUAAAUUUGGGUGGAAUACUCUACCCUUGAAAACUAUUGUGAUCCCCUAUACUUGUGGGUUAUCAGACGACAGCAGCCGCGCGCUCGAGUUUGCGCGCCAAUGAAGCGUCGUCCGCCACGAGUUCUUCCAAAAGGCGAUGGACGCGAUGGGCCACUUUGGUGGAGAGCAUGCGGACGUAGACGCACGCCUUGAAGCCAAGGGCCUACGGCUGAUCGAGGAGCAGCAUAGACUGAAGGUGGCCAUCAACCUCGCGCGCCACCAGCGCGAGCUUGACAAUGCGAAGGCUGAGGCGUCCCUUGCAACCUCGCGUGAGGCCUACUCCCGAGCUUUGGAGGAGGCCCGGGAAGCAGAUCGUCGUCGCGAUAUUGCAGAGAAGUGCGCGUGGGAGCUCCAAGCCUGGAGCGCUUCCUUGGAGCAGCAGGUGGAGUUGAGCCAAACCGCCCUUGCGUCACUGAGGGGGAAACCUAUUGAGGAGGAGGAGGUCCUGAAGCAUGAGGAAGCGUUGAUGCUGGAGGACGCCGAGCGUAGUCUUGAGCUUGAGCGGUUGGAGACGAGGGAGCGCCAGGUUGCCGAGCGGAGGAGGCCGUUGGCGCGCGUGAGGCCCCGGUCUAGGAAGAGGUCGACCGCCGCAUGGACGAGGCUCGCGUGGAUCUUAUGAGAAGGUAUGACCUGAAGAUGAAGCUGGUUGAAGCCGAGGUUGCAGGCAGGACUGCCGCCCUCAGGUCCAGGCUAACCGAAGCAGAACGGUGCACGAAGGCCGCCGCAGCCGCCCUGGUCUCGGCGCAGGCCGAGCUGGCCUCCGCCUGCGCCGAGCUGCUUCCUCUUCAGCAGUGGGUUGCCGACACCGAGUCCAUCGCACAGCAGAACAGGGAGGAAGUGCUUCAAUGGCAGACGUUGGAGCACGUGCACGACCCCAUGCUCCAGGACCUCAGGAACAGGGCCAACGCGGCCCUGGGCAACAUCUGUAAUGAGAAUGCCCCGCAUCCCCAUGCGACCGACUAUACCAGUCAUAUUCGCUUCUUUACUGACGUGGUGAUGCGCCUGGAGAACCGCUCCGAGAGAGCUCACCAGCUUGUUAAGGAAAGGAGCCGCAGCCUGCUCGGGCGCGCGUUUUCCCGCGUCUUCAGCCAACUUCAGAACACCUAUCCCGACUUUGACUUUGACGCCACCAUCGCCCCGGUGCCCGAGGCCAUCCAUGGAAACCUAGCGCGGUGGGUGGAGGAUAAUGUGGAUGCGCUUGUUAGGGCCUUUGCUUCCAAUGAUGAUGGGGUGGUAGUCGCGGUGGACGAAGGCGAUGUGGUCGAUGAUGGUGCCGAUGGUGCCAGUGGUGGCGAUGGUGAUGCCAGUGACAGCGACAGCAGUGCCAGCGAUGCCUCUGGAGGCGACCCAAGGGACACGGUGAGCGAUAUGUCUGACUGAUCCCGUGUUUCUCUGCUUUUUAUCCUGCAUACAGAAACUCGGGCACGACCCCAAAGGUUGUAAGAGCAUUUUGGGAGGGGAUGCCCCUCAUGUAAAAAAGAUUGUUGUACCUAUGCUUUCAGGGCCAAUGCUGAAUAUAUGCUUCUAUGAGCCUACGGGCCCUGCGGCGAGCUAGUUGUUGUAAUUUACCUUUAGCCGGGACAAGUCCUGAACCGGCUCGUGAGGUCGUGAGUUUCCGAGUAUCCCCUUAGGGGCCUACUGACCCGGUCGAGAGGGCCUCGCGAGAGCAAGUGCCGGCCGUAGUACGGCAUGCGUGCAGUGUACGUGCGCUUCGCCUAGCCCCGCCCGCGAGGGGCUCGCGAGGGGGAGGCAGCCGGUGCGAACUCCAAAUUAAGGCAGGAACCAGAAUGCAAGAAAUCACACGAACGAGAAAAUUCACCCUCCCCACGCACACAAAUGAAAACUCAACUCCAACUUAAAUCCGAAACAAGGAAGCACGACUACAGAAAGGGAGUUAAAAAAGCAAAUGGCCGCGUCCGGCGCCUAGUCUAGUCUUCACGUCUUCUCACCAGCGCGGAGCUAAGUGCUGCCACUAGGCGUGAGAGGGAGCCCCCGAGGCCCGAGGGCGGCGCUCCUAAGGCUCCAGGGUAUGUACAGCCCCACUCAUUAUUACGUGAGAGUGUCACCAACUAUGAGCUUCACAGGCACUAGGCCUUCUUCAUAUUGCCAGACAAGGGCCCCGCCUUGCGCCACCCUCGACCACCAUUAGCGGCGACCGAAAACCAGGACGACGCCAAAGGGACAAAGGGGACGCCAUCGCUGCCCUCGGCGACCACGGGUCCUCUGCCACGGGUAGGCUUUGCAGCACCUCCCCGACAGAGGGCCUACCUCCGGGGGACGCCUUGCUCUGUGCACCGUGGGGAGGGGCCUUGCUCCGUGCGUCGUGGGAAGGGGCCUUGCUCCGUGCGCCGUGGGGAGGGGCCUUGCUCCCGGCCCCUCUCCUGCAGCCCCCAUUGCGCUCCUCCUAGUGGAAGGGAGGCUACCGAGCUGGGGCAGCCGCCUGCUGCUAUGACCUUACCCUCCUGUGACCCAUGGUUAGCAUAAGCUUGCUCCUGAGGAAUUAGUGGUACCCGGUAACUGCUGCUGUCGGCGCGGUUGGUGAGGCUCCCUUGAGGCUCCUGGAAGAGCUCAACUUCUGGCGUCUCUUCCUCCCAGCCAGGCCCGAGGAACGAGCCAGGGUCGUCUUCUAGUGCAUACUCCCAUUCCACCAUGCAGGGCAUGUAAGCCUCCGAAGCCGCCGCCUCGAAGACUUUGCCGUAGUGCCCCACACUCCAUGUCGCUCGGCCUAGCGUGCCGUCUUGAGGAUGGUAGGGAAGCGGCCCGCCCGGGCCGUAGGCGGUAGCGCACAUGCCCUCAGUCACUGAUGGUGGUGUGGGUGCGUCCUGGCGUCUGGCGCCGAUGGUUGAGCUGGUGUUGAUGAAGCCUUGUAGCGUUCUUGGGGCCACGCGGGCGUAGAGAGAUCCGCCAUGUGAUCCGGCCGAGGCCCAGGGUGCAAGCUGGAAGCAGAAGGGCGGUGCCCCUGAGGCCGCGGCAUCAAGGAGCUCGGCAACGCGCUCAUGCAACACAUCCCGACCGCUCUCCAUCAACCUACAUCGCAGCAGCUCCCGAGCCACAGUGAGCGCGACUCUCAUGUUUGCUUGAUCCCGUCGGGUGUGCGGCACCGUGGCCACGGCGUGGCUUGAGGCCCUUGCGGCUGCCCGCACCUGCCAUGGACUAAGGGCAGGCGAUGUGUGACCACGCCGCCCACGCCCCGCGGUGUUCUGCGGUGCGUGGGAUGCCUAGGGCGUGGGGUUGAGAUCUUCUUGGGCAGGUGGAGUGUCCCGGGCUGGCCAGGCUGCCCAGCGGUUGGCAUCGGUCAUCGGGUUGCCAGACAUUGGACUCGCAAAGCGACGACAUGCUGACUGGCGGAAGGAAAGCUCCGGCGCACCCUUACCUGGCAUGCCAAAUGUUGUAUAUAGGGUUCCGGCAAAACCCUUGAGGUUCAAACACUGGGGUGCGCACAAAGAUUCCCCCCUACUGAAUAUCGAUCUCAGCCUAACCGUGAUCCCUAAGCUUAGCUCGAUGAACUCACAACACAAGAGACACAAGGUUUAUACAGGUUCGGGCCACCGUUGUGGUGUAAUACCCUACUCCUGUGUGGUGGUGGUAGAUUGCCUCUUGGGCUGAUGAUGAACAGUACAAGAGAAGAACAGCCUCCUGAGGAGAGGUGUUCUUGUGCUCGGAGGGUUGCUCGGGGAGGAAUCGAAUGAUCCCUUUCUACUGUGGUGGCUGGUCCUAUUUAUAGAGGCCCUGGUCCUCUCCCCAAAUAUUGAGCGGGAAGGGAUCCAACAACGACCAAUUUGAAAGGGGACAUCUAGUACAAGCAAUCCUGACUAAAGGUGGUCUUCGCCUGUCAAAGGCGCUGGUGGUGACGCCGUCUUGGGCUCCACGAUGACCUCCGUCCUACCGUCCUGCUGGUCUUGGUCUUGUUGCACCGAUAUGGAAACCUUUGCCUGAUGCCUCGGUACUCCACCCUGCGCUUGCCCCCUAGCACCAAAGGGGAAAUGAGGACACUGCGCACGCUGGCGCGCGCCUGGCCUUAGUCGUCAUGGCUGGCGUCACGGGAACCUCACGAGGUACCCUUUGCCUUAAUCUCUCCGCCUCCCUCGCGAGCCUGCCUGGUGAGGCCGCUCCUGAGGAGCCCUUGUGUCGUCUGCCCCAUGAGGGUUGUCCCCUCACGAGGGUCUUGAGUGUUGGUUGAUGAAGACGGGCCGUACUGGGCCACUGGUGGAGCCACGCUGUUGGCCGCAGGUAGGCAAGUCUGGGGACCCCCGUUCCUAGAACGCCAACACAACAUACAAUCAACAAGUUGAGACUAGACAUGCAGGUAUUAGAUGCAGGAGUCCAAAAAUGAAAAAAGACAUUGAGGUAACCACGAAGGAAUUGGAGAUUUUGCAGACUGAAAUUUGUGCUAUCUAAAUCCGGUCAAUCCUAUUUCCUGAAGAGAUUAUAGUUCAAAUGGUAAGUUCAGUUGAUGCGUGUCCAUGAUGUAUGAGCUUUAUUUGUCCAGUAUAUGUAAUUUGCUGUUUGUGUAUGAUUUAUUAUCACUGGUGCCGAACUAUAAUGCCCAGUGGGUAUAUUCAGCUGUAAUUUAUUUAUUGUAUAGUGUAGGAUUAUUCUAUGUUUCUAUGCCUUAGUCUUUUUAUUGUAUAGUGUAUUCUUUUAGAGGUGAUAGUAUAGAGUAGGAUAUUUCUUGAAUAUGCUAUAUUGUGGAAAUGGGGUCCAACACGCCCAAACAUUUCUUGGAUGCCAUACAAACGAACAAACAUGUGUAGUCAAAGCGGGCCUUAAUUGGGCUGGUCAAAAUAAUAUUAAGUGGAUCCAAAUGAUGUGGCCCACCGUAACAAUGGCUCUUAGCCGGCCGUCAACAUGCCUAAAUCUUGAUAGGGCCGUAUAAAUGGAAAUGGCCCGCGGGCCUUUAGCAGGCGAAAUAAAUGUCAAUUUUGUCUCGGCCUAGUAAGAGGCCGAAAGUGUUAUGGGCCAGAGGAGGCCCAAUUUGCAAACUAGGUUUUUAACAGGCCAAAAGUCACGUUGGGCUGAAAUAAUUCCCUGCAGAACGUGGGCCCCUAAUAGACCUAAAUUCAAAGGCCCAACUGUUGUGUGGGCGGUUAACAGGCCUAGGGACAAAAUGGGCUAAGAGUUGGCCCAUUUACCAAAUGGGCCGAGGACAGGCCUAAAUUCACAGCGGGCUAGAAUUGGCCCAACUACAGAAUGGGCAGAGAAAAGGACGAAAGACGUUUCGGGCUGUUAACGGGAUAGAACUGACGAUGGGCUGCUAACAGGCCGAACGAAGCUCAGGCCGCAAUUGGGCCCAAAAACGUAGCGGGCGUUAACGGGCUUAAACUGACGAUGGGCUGGAAAUUGUAGAAUCUAGAAUGGGCCUUUGUUGGGCCGAUUUUGUGUAACUUGUAUGGGCCUGACUCAAGUAGGCCGCUAAUGGGUCGGCCCGCUUAUUUUGACAGGCCCGACUUUUUCACCGGAAUGGGCCUCUGUUGGGCCGUGCCAUGUGUCGACGUAUCAUAGGCGGCUCCUGUCCAAUGAGUGGAUGACAUCUGUCCCAAUGGUGAGGCAACACGUGUUUCCUCCGGCCAAUGAGAAUUUUACAUGUGGAAAAUCCCCAUUGGUCCAGGCUGUUAAUGGGUUAUCGGAUCCAAAACCGAACCCGAUAGCUUAACAGUGAGUCGUUACGGUCGAUGCCACGUGUCGGUCACCCUUGACGAAAGCACUUCUAUGACACACGAUUUAUCGUCAUGGAAGUGGACACUUCCGUGAUGAUAAUUUUGGUAAUGUCAUGGAACACUUCUACGACAGCACAGGUAUGACUAUCUUGAUUUUAUCAUAAAAUUGUCAUGGAUGUACAUGCAUGACAGAUAACGUGACCUACUGUGACAAACAUGUAUCAUCACGAAAGUGUAUUUUUUUUGUAGUGCCUCCACCAACAAUCACACUCCACGCCUGGUCCUAAACAAUGGGUACCUUCCAACUAUCAACAAUCCUGGGGAAGUUUUGUUUAAUUAUUUGCGAUUUCGUUUUUGAUCUUUUGAUCAUAGGACUGGGCAUCCCAAUUACCAGCCACUUUCUCGUGAAUGAUGAGAGGAGUCCACUCAUCGUGAGAAUAACCCACCUAGCAUGGAAGAUACUGACAACCCCUAGUCGCUACAUGAGCGAUUCGAGCAUACAAAACAAAUUAUUAUUUGAAGGUUUAGAGUUUGGCACAUGAAAAUUUACUUGGAACGGCAGGUAAAUACCGCAUAUAGGUAGAUAUGGUGGACACUCAUGGAAGAAACUUGGUUCAAGGAAUUUGGAUGCAUAAGAAGUAUUCCGCUUGGUACAGAAAUUUAGGCUAGCAAAAGAUUCUAAAUAGCAAGCACCACAAGUUGGAGGAUCCAUAACAAUAUAACUUCUAUACAAAUAUACCCAAGCAUAACUCAUUAUGUUGUCUUCCUUGUCGAGCUUCAACUAAUUUUAUCAGGUUUGAAAAUAAUUAAUGGGGCUCACAAUCAUAGAAGAUAUCCAAGAUAGUAUAUUUAUAUGUGAAAUCUCUCUUCCUUCAAUAUUCUUUCAUGAAUUGUUCAAGUGACCAAUACUAUGUUUGCUAACUUUCAAUAAAUUUGCCACCUCUACUUCUAUAUGUGAAGUCAUUACUCCCCAUGGUAUAAGCAUAUGAAACAAAUAUAAAUUCAGAUUUAUGAUAUUCAAUUCAUUCAACCAUUUACUCAUAGGAUAUAAGUGAAGCACACGAGUAAAUGACAAAUUAUCCAAAAAGAUAUAAGUGAAGAUCAAUGAGUAGUCAAAUAAUUAAGUAGCUAUGCGAAGACUCUCUCUCAUUUCAGAAUUUAAGAUCUUAAUAUUUUAUUCAAACAACAAGCAAAAAAAAUGAAAUGACAUUCCAAGGAUAACACAUAUCAUGUGAAGAAGCAAAAACUUAGGCUCAACCGAGGCUAACCGAUGAUUGUUGAUGAAGAAAGGUGGGAUGCCAACCGGGGCAUCCCCAAGCUUAGAUGCUUGAGACUUCUUGAAAUAUUAAUUAGGGAUUCCUUGGGCAUCCCCAAGCUUGAGCUUUUGUGUCUCCUUAAUUCCUUUCAUAUCAUAGUUUCCCGGAAUCUAAAAACUUUAUCCACACAAAACUCAACAAGAACUUGUGAGAUAAGUUAGUAUAAAUCCAUGCAAAACCUUAUCAUUCUCUACUAUAUAAAAUCACUAAAAUUAUUAUUCGAUAUUUCCUACUAAAUGCCUCUGCAUAUUUAACACUCCUAUCUUCAAAUAGAAUCAUUAAACAGGCAAACAUAUGCAAACAAUGCAAACAUAACAGCAAUCUGUCUAAACAGAAUAGUCUAUAAAGAAUGCAAGAGGAAUCAUACUUAUUUAACUCAAAAAAUUCUAAAAAUUUACCACACUGUAGAGAAUUUAUCAUUGCUUAUUCUGCAAAAAAAAUCAACAUUUUAUCACAUUCUUACUUUUCAAGGAAUUUUUGCAAUAGUGAUAAACUUUCUGUUUUGAAACAGCAACUCAUAAACUUGCAAAUUGUGCAUGGUGAAGGCUAUGAUUGACACUUUUAUCGAAAUAAAAGAUACAAAACCUUAUUCUAAAUAACAUCAAGCAAAUAUAAAUAAAAUAAAAUGACGCUCCAAGCAAAACACAUAUCAUGUGGUGAAUAAAAGUAUAGCCUCAAGUAAAGUUACCGAUGAAUGAAGACGAAAGAGGGGAUGCCAUCCGGGGCAUCCCCAAGAUUAGUUGCUUGGGUAUUCCUUGAAUAUUACCUUGAGGUGCCUUGGGAAUCCCCAAUAUUAGGAUCUUGCCUAUCCUUAUUCCCUAGUCCAUCGAAAUUUCACCCAAAACUUGAAAACUUCACAACACAAAACUCAACAGAAAAUCUUAUGAGCUCAGUUAGUAUAAGAAAAUAAAUCACCAAUUAGGUACUAUUGUGAACUCAUUCUAAAUUAAUAUUGGUGUUAUAUCUACUGUAUUCCAACAUCUCCAUGGCUCAUACCCUCUGAUACUACUCAUGGAUUCAUUAAAAUAAGCAAACAACACAUAGAAAACAUAAUAUGUCAAAAACAUAACAGUCUGUAGUAAUCUGGAAACUUUCCAUACAUCUGUAACUCCAAAAAUUCUAAAAAAUUAGGAUAGUCUAGAAAUUUGUAUAUCAAUCUUGUGUAAAAAAUCAGAUCUAAAGCACGUUCUAGUGAAUUUUCAAAUUUCCUAGACUGAGCGCAAAAGUUUCUGUUUUUGCACAGAAUCAAGUCAACUAUCAUACACACUAUCCAAAGGCUUUACUUGGCACUUUAUUGAAACAAAAGCUAUAGAACAUGAUUACUAAAAUAGCAUAAUCAUGUGAACACAAAAAACAGUAACUGUAAAAAUUGGGUUGUCUCCCAACAAGCACUUUUCUUUAAUGCCUUUUAGCUAGGCAUGAUGAUUUCAAUGAUGCUCACAUAAAAGAUAAGAAUUGAAACACAAAGAGAGCAUCAUGAAGCAUAUGACUAGCACAUUUAAGUCUAACCCACUUCCUAUGCAUAGGGAUUUUGUGAGCAAACAAUUUAUGGGAGCAAGAAUCAACUAGCAUAGGAAGGCAAAACAAGCAUAAUUCAAGAUUUUCAACACAUAGAGAGAAAACUUAAUAUUAUUGCAAUUCCUACAAGCAUAUAUUCCUCCCUCAUAGUAAUUUUCAGUAGCAUCAUGAAUUAAUUCAACAAUAUAACCAUCACAUAAAUCAUUCUUUUCAUGAUGCACAAGCAUAUAAUUUUUAUUACUCUCUACACAAGCAAAUUUCUUCUCAUUCGGAAUAGUGGGAGUAAACUCAACGAACUAACUAUCUGUAAUACUUUAUUCACAUAAUCAAUUUGAGCAUUAAAAUCAUGAUGACAAGUUUCAUGGAUAUCAUUACUCUUUAUAGCAUAAAUUUCAUCACAGUAAUCAUCAUAAAUAGGAGGCAUGCUAUCAUCAUAAUAUAUUUUCUCAUCAAAACUUGGGGGACUAAAAAUAUCAUCUUCAUCAAACAUAGCAUCCCCAAGCUUGUGGCUUUGCAUAUCAUUAGCAUCAUGGAUAUUCAAAGAAUUCAUACCAACAACAUUGCAAUCAUGCUCACCAUUCAACAAAUUAGUGCCAAACAUUUUAUUGCAUUCUUCUUCUAGCAAUUGAGCACAAUUAUCGGAAUCCUUAUUUUCACGAAAGACAUUAAAAAGAUGAAGCAUAUGUGGCAACCUCAAUUCCAUUUUUUUGUAUUUUUCUUUUAUAGAUUGAAUUAGUGAUGAAACAAGAAACUAAAAGAUUCAAUUGCAAUAUCUAAAGAUAUACCUUCAAGCACUAACCCCCUCAGCAACGGUGCCAGAAAAGAGCUUGAUGUUUACUACGCAACCUUCUUCUUGUAGACGUUGUUGGGCCUCCAAGUGCAGAGGUUUGUAGGACAGUAGCAAAUUUCCCUCAAGUGGAUGACCUAAGGUUUAUCAAUCCGUGGGAGGCUUAGGAUGAAGAUGGUCUCUCUCAAACAACCCUGCAACCAAAUAACAAAGAGUCUCUUGUGUCCCGAACACACCCAAUACAAUGGUAAAUUGUAUAGGUGCACUAGUUCGGCGAGGAGAUGGUGACAGGAGUGCAAUAUGGAUGGUAGAUAUAGGUUUUUGUAAUAUGAAAAUAUAGAAACAUCAUGGUAGCAAGUAACAAAAGUGAGCGAAAACGAUAUUGCAUGCUUAGAAACAAGGCCUAGGGUUCAUACUUUCACUAGUGCAAGUUCUCUUAACAAUGAUAACAUAAAUAGAUCAUAUAACAAUCCCUCAACAUGCAACAAAGAGUCAUUCCAAAGUCACAAAUAGCAGAGAACAAACGAAGAGACUAUUGUAGGGUAUGAACCACCUCAAAGUUAUUCUUUCUGCUCGAUCUAUUGGGCUAUUCCUGUAAGUGUCACAAACAGCCCUAGAGUUCAUACUAAAAUAACACCUUAAGACACACAUCAACCAAAACCCUAAUGUCAUCUAGAUACUCCAAUGUCACCACAAGUAUCCACGGGUUUGAUUAAAUGAUAUGCAUCACACAAUCUCAGAUUCAUCUAUUCAAACCAACAUAAAGAACUUCAAAGAGUGCCCCAAAGUUUCUACGAGAGAGUCAAGAUGAAAACGUGUGCCAACCCCUAUGCAUAAGUUCACAAGGUCACAGAACCCGCAAGUUGAUCACCAAAACAUACAUCAAGUGGAUCACGUGAAUAUCCCAUUGUCACCACAAAUAAGCACAUGCAAGACAUACAUCAAGUGUUCUCAAAUCCUUAAAGACUCAAUCCGAUAAGAUAACUUCAAAGGGAAAACUCAAUCCAUUACAAGAAGAUAGAGGGGGGAGAAACAUCAUAAGAUCCAACUAUAAUAGCAAAGCUUGCGGUACAUCAAGAUUGUGCCAAAUCAAGAACAUGAGAGAGAGAGAGAGAGAGAGAGAUCAAACACAUAGCUACUGGUACAUACCCUCGGCCCCGAGGGUGAACUACUCCCUCCCCGUCAUGGAGACUGCCGGGAUGAUGAAGAUGGACAUCGGUGAUGAUUUCCCCUUCCGGCAGGGUGCCGGAACAGGGUCCCGAUUGGUUUUUGGUGGCUACAGAGGAUUGCGGCAGCGGAACUCCCGAUCUAGGUUCUGUUCUGGAAGUUAGGGGAUAUAUAAGAGGUGUUGGCGUCGGGAACAAGUCAGGGGGGUCCACGAGGUAGGGGGCGCGCCCAAGGGGGUAGGGCGCAUCCUCCACCCUCGUGGUGGCCUCGGGACUCUUCUGGUCCAUCUUCGAUGCUCUGUGGGCUUCUUAUGGUCCAAAAAUUAUAGAUACGUUGGAGAGGUAUCAGUCACCUCAUCUUGCAAUUUUGCAACCUCUGCAUUAUGCUACACUUGAGUUGCCGGAGUCACUUCUGCUGCCAACAAAGUCCCAAAGCAUCCAGGAGUUUAGAUAAGACUUGAGCCGAUGGACGCGCAGAGCCGCUCGCACCAGUCGUUGCAGCAACAGUUGAACCGGAUGUCAUGGACGCCGCAGUUGACGAUUGUAACACUGGUUGUGUGCCGGCCAUGAAAAUUUCGGCUCUGCUCGGCGGCUCAUAAAGCUCUGGAAUACUUUCGCCGUUGGAAUAGCCCCCAAGCCCACUGUCUUGCAGUUGGUAGAUCGAUUCGGUUUCGCAGGUUGAGGACUCAUCACCUGAAUAGAUGGCUGUCUCUCCACCAGACAUUGAACCUUCAUCAAGAUCCGCCCCAUGAACAAAGCCAACAAAAGCAUGCUUCCGGCCCGGUUGAAACCUGGCGGGUCACGCACGCUGGGCCGUCUCAAUGACGUCGGUGCAGGAAUUUGGCUUAGGCUCUGAUUUGCCGAUCGUGUCGAUGAAGACGUGAAUUCCACUAUAGGGGAAGCAAUACCCUUACUCGAUUGAGUUGGCCUCGGCGCCCCAACCAACAGUAUCAAUGUAGAUCUUGCCCCGGUGACUCUUGGUCAUCCGGCCCAUGGCGUAUCACUUGAUCCCUGAGAAGCUUCCCUUCAAGAACUUGAAACCACCGUGCUCUGGCUCCACGGUGGGCGCCAACUGUCGUGGAUUUAACACGACAGAUGCCCUUGUGUAAGGACUUAGGUGUGGAGCCAUCGCAACGCAGGUUAGCUUGAGGGGGUUGAACGGGACAAAGGACAGAAGGAGUUUACCUAGGUUCGGCCCCUCUCAAUGAGGUAAAAGCCUACGUCCUGCUUCUAGUUGUAUUGCUUGAGUUUCGAUUACAAGGGAGCAAAUACGCUUGACCUACUUUCGAUUGAUUGUUUCUUGGCCUAAGCCGCCGCCGGGUCUCGCCUUUAUAUACACAGUCGAAUUCCGGCGGCUUACAAGAGUCUGAGCCGGAUCACACAACGUGACCAACCCGGUUUCUAAAUUGCCUUAUCUUAACAAAAAAGUCACCAUAUGGCGGUUCACACGUCCGAGUCUUGGGCUUUCACCAGGCCCACUCGUAUGAGCCGCCAUCUUCACACUUCAUCUUCUUAGGCCUACUUGGUCCUUCUUCAUGUUAAGCCACCAAUGGUGUAACCCGGCCCCUCCUGGGAGGGUCACACCUCGGGGCUAUAUCCUCAACAGGGGAGAUCCUGGUCGUCAUGAAGAUGCCAGUGAGCAAGUGCUAGAAGAUGAAGGAAUAACAAUAAGAGGACCAGUGAUGAGGUACCAAUUAAAGAGGUGACAGGACUUUACCAUAUACGUACUAGAUACUAGCUUCAAUUUUAUGUUUCUUUUGUAUACAGUUACAUCACUUGGUUACCUUGCUAUACCCUUAUGUUUACGAGAUUGGGAAAAAUUGAUGUCCCAUAAUGCACUUCACAAGGUUUCGCUGUUCGAUGAGGUUACGUUGUCCACGCGGACCACACCACUAAUCAUAAGCACCUAUUUUAGUCGCUCAACCUACAGCGGCAGGUACAUGUAACUUAACAGGUGUUAGUUAGGUUCAUGAGGUCCCCUGAAAUCUUCAAUGAUGUGGUAUGAUAUCUAUCUAUUUCUCAAUAACCAUUUGAGAACUUUUUGCAGUUAGUGAUAACAAGUCCAUUAGUUCAUGUAGUAGUUCAUAUACAAUUUUGGAGUAGAAAGAGUAUAAUUAUUGUAUGAUCUGUAUGUUCAUAAUCUUUCUGUGGAGUUAUAGAGGCUUAAAGCCUGACAUACAAGAGCAUGACAUUGCAGCCGACCUGUAUCCUCUACCUCGACGUUCCUGUCAAAGAGGAAAAUAUAGUCCAAAAUUCAUGAUUUCUCAUCAUUCUUUAAUUCCCGGUCCUUUUAUAGUUCAUCAUCUGUUGCUUGGGAAGCUUUUCUUUAUACUUCUAUUAUUGAAUUAAAUGUCCCAUGUUCAUCUUGCUUAAUUAUAAACUUUGGUCACCUGACAUAUUUUCAAGUCUGAUGCAUACAUCCAAGAAGUUUGCAACUUAAAAGUUUUUCCCCGCACUAAAUCUCUACUGAUACACUACCAAGUGUCUUUUCCUUCAAUAUAUGGUUAUGUUUAUCUUACAUUCAUGUAUUAAGUGUUGGGGAACGUGGUAAUUUCAAAAACUUUCCUACGAACAUGCAAGAUCUAUCUAGGUGCUGCAUAGCAAUGAGAGGGGAGACUGUGUCCACGUACCCUCAUAGACCGAAAAUGGAAGCGUUUAGUUAACACGGUUGAUGUAGUCGAACGUCUUCGCGAUCCAACCGAUCCAAGCACCAAAUGUACGGCACCUCCGCGUUCAGCACACGUUCAGCUCGAUGACAUCCCUCGUACUCUUGAUCCAGUUGAGGCCAAGGGAGAGUUCCGUCAGCACGACGACGAGGCGACGGUGAUGAUCAUGUUACCGGAGCAGGGCUUUGCCUAAGCACUACGGAGAUAUGAUCGAGGUGUGUAACUGUGGAGGGGGGCACCGUACAUGGAUAAAAGAUCAACUUGUGUGUCCACGGGGUGCCCCCUGCCCAUGUAUACAAAGGAGGGAGGAAUAGGAUGCCGGCCCUAGAGGGGGCGCGCCAAGGGGGGGAGUCCUACUUGGACUCCCGGUCCAAGUAGGAUCCCCCCUUUCCUAUUCCAACUAGGAGAAGGAAGGGAAGGAGGAAGAGGGGAGAAGGAAUGAGGGGGGAGCCGCCCCCUCCUAGUUCAAUUCGGACCAGCCCAUGGGGGGGCACGCGGCUACCCCUUGAGGCCCGUCUCUCCUUUCCCGUAUGGCCCAUUAAGGCCCAUUACUUCCCCCGGCGAAUUCCCGUAACUCUUCGGUACUCCGAAAAAUACCCAAAUCACUCGGAACCUUUCCGAUGUACGAAUAUAGCCUUCCAAUAUAUCGAUCUUUAUGUCUCAACCAUUUCGAGACUCCUCGUCACGUCCGUUAUCUCAUCUGGGACUCCGAACAAACUCCGGUCAUCAAAUCACAUAACUCAUAAUACAAAUCGUCAUCGAACAUUAAGCGUGCGGACCCUACGGGUUCGAGAACUAUGUACACAUGACCGAGACACAUCUCCGGUUAAUAACCAAUAGCGGAACCUGGAUUCUCAUAUUGGCUCCUACAUAUUCUACGAAGAUCUUUAUUGGUUAAACCGCAUAACAACAUACAUUGUUCCCUUUGUCAUCGGUAUGUUACUUGCCCGAGAUUCAAUCAUCGGUAUCAUCAUACCUAGUUCAAUCUCAUUACCGUCAAGUCUCUUUACUCGUUCUGUAAUGCUUCAUCCCGCAACUAACUCAUUAGUCAUAAUGCUUGCAAGGCUUAUAGUGAUGAGUAUUACCGAGAGGGCUUAGAGAUACCUCUCCGAAACAUGGAGUGACAAAUCCUAAUCUCGAUCUAUGCCAACCCAACAAACACCUUCAGAGACACCUGUAGAGCACCUUUAUAAUCACCCAUUUAUGUUGUGACGUUUGGUAGCACACAAAGUGUUCCUCCGGUAUUCGGGAGUUGUAUAUUCUCAUAGUCUGAGGAACAUGUAUAAGUCACGAAGAGAGCAGUAGCAAUGAAACUGUCACGAUCAUAAUGCUAAGCUAACGGAUGGGUCAUGUCCAUCACAUCAUUCUCCUAAUGAUGUGACCCCGUUCAUCAAAUGACAACACAUGUCUAUGGUUAGGAAACAUAACCAUCUUUGAUUAACGAGCUAGUCAAGUAGAGGCAUACUAGGGACACUAUGUUUUGUCUAUGUAUUCACACAUGUACUAAGUUUCCGGUCAAUACAAUUCUAGCAUGAAUAAUAAACAUUUAUCACGAAACAAGGAAAUAAAUAAUAACUUUAUUAUUGCCUCUAGAGCAUAUUUCCUUCAGUCUCCCACUUGCACUAGAGUCAAUAAUCUAGUUCACAUCGCCAUGUGAUUUAACAUCAAUAGUUCACAUCUGUAUGUGAUUAACACCCAUAGUUCACAUCGCCAUGUGGCCAACAACCAAAGGGUUUACUAGAGUCAAUAAUCUAGUUCACAUUGCUAUGUGAUUAACACCCAAAGAUUACUAAGGUGUGAUCAUGUUUUGCUUAUGAGAGAAGUUUAGUCAACGGGUCUAUCACAUUCAGAGCCAUAUGUAUUUUGCAAAUAUUCUAUGUCUACAAUGCUCUGUAUGGAGCUACUCUAGCUAAUUGCUCCCACUUUUAAUAUGUAUCCAGAUUGAGAAUUAGAGUCAUCUGGAUCGGUGUAAAAGCUUACAUCAACGUAACUCUUUACGAUGAACUCUUUAUCACCUCCAUAACCGAGAACCAUUUCCUUAGUUCUCAAUAAGGAUAAUUUUGACCGUUGUCCAGUGAUCUACUCCUACAUCACUAUUGUACCCCUUUGCCAAACUCAUGGCAAGCUGCACAUUAGGUCUGGUACACAGCAUAGCAUACUUUAUAGAACCUAUGACUGUGGCAUAGGGAAUGAUUUUCUCUUUCUAUCUUCUGCCGUGGUCGGGCUUUGAGUCUUACUCAACUUUACACCUUGUAAUACAGACAAGAACUCCUUCUUUGACUGAUCCAUUUUGAACUCUUUCAAAAACUUGUCAAGGUAUAUAUACAUUGAAAAAUCUUAUCAAGCGUCUUGAUCUAUCUUUAUAGAUCAUGAUGCCCAAUAUGUAAGCAGCUUCACUGAGGUCUUUCUUUGAAAAACUCUUAUUCAAGUAUCCCUUUAUGCUAUACAGAAAUUCUAUAUCAUUUCCAAUCAACAAUAUGUCAUCCACAUAUAAUAUUAGGAAUGCUACAGAGCUCCCACUCACUUUCUUGUAAAUACAGGCUUCUCCAAAAGUCUGUAUAAAACCAUAUGCUUUGAUCAACUCAUCAAAGCGUAUAUUUCAACUCUGAGAUGUUUGCACCAGUCUAUAGAUGGAUCGCUGGAGCUUGCACACCUUGUUAGUACCUUUAGGAUCAACAAAACCUUCUGAUUGCAUCAUAUACAACUCUUCUUUAAGAAAUAUCCAUUUAAGGAAUGCAGUUUUGACAUCCAUUUGCCAAAUUUCAUAAAAUAUGGCAACUCCGAACAUGAUUCAGACGGAUUUAAGCAUCGCUAUAGUUGAGAAAAUCUCAUUGUAGUCAACACCUCGAACAUGUCGAAAACCUUUUGCAACAAGUCAAGCUUUGUAAAUAGUAACACUAUUAUCAGUGUUCGUCUUCCUCUUGAAGAUCCAUUUAUUUAAUAUGGCUUGCCAAUCAUCGGGCAAGUCCACCAAAGUCCACACUUUGUUCUCAUACAUGGAUCCCAUCUCAGAUUUCAUAGCCUCAUGCCAUUUUGCGGAAUCUGGGCUCAUCAUCGCUUCCUCAUAGUUCGUAGGUUCAUCAUGGUAUAGUAACAUGACUUCUAGAGCAGGAUUAGCGUACCACUCUGGUGCGGACCGUACUCUGGAAGACCUACGAGGUUCUGUAGUAACUUGAUCUGAAGUUUCAUGACCAUCAUCAUUAGCUUCCUCAUAAAUUGGUGUAGAAAUCACUGGAACUAAUUUCUAUGAUGAACUACAUUCCAAUUCAAGAGAAGGUACAAUUACCUCAUCAAGAUCUACUUUCCUCCCACUCACUUCUUUCGAGAGAAACUCCUUCUCUAGAAAGGAUCCAUUUUUAGCGACGAAUAUCUUGCCUCCGGAUCUGUGAUAGAAGGUGUACCCAACAGUUUCCUUUGGGUAUCUAUGAAAACACACUUCUUCAAUUUGGUUUCGAGCUUAUCAGGUUGAAGCUUUUUCACAUAAGCAUCGCAGCCCCAAACUUUAAGAAACGACAACUUUGGUUUCUUGCCAAACCACAGUUCAUAAGGCAUCGUCUCAACGGAUUUUGAUGGUACCCUAUUUAAAGUGAAUGCAACUGUCUCUAAUGCAUAACCCCAAAACGAUAGUGGUAAACUGGUAAGAGACAUCAUAGAUCGCACCAUAUCUAAUUAAGUGCGGUCACGACGUUCGGACACACCAUUACGCUGAGGUGUUCCAGGUGGCGUGAGCUGUGAAACUUAGGGAUUGCAAUGGGUCGGGUUUGUGGCGGGUGGAGCUGGUCCAAAUCCAACCCAUGACCCAUCUUCCUACUCUCUGCCCAUCCACCAAAUUAUCCAUGGGCACAACUUGUGCCCAUGCCCAAACCCGCUGGAUACCCACAUACCCAUGGAGCUCCAUGGGCAUAGAAAAGUCAGCAUGAAGCCUUCCCAAAGAUCAAAUUAGCUCAUCAUCAUUCACUCACAAAUGACAACAGAAGCAACAUGCAUAAGUAGGCAACAAGUAAUACGAUUAUUCCUUAAGUCUGGCAUACCAGAGGUUGAUUCUAUAUCAUAUAGCUUAUGGCACUAGUUGCAUAUUGCCUACCAUUUCCCAUUGAUUUUCUCUUUCUACUGUCACUGGCAUAUGGCCCCACAUGUCAUGUGGAUAUCCACUGGAUAUCCAUGGAGCACAAAUUAUAAACGUGCCCAACCCGGCUAUUCAUGGGUAUCCAUAUCCACGGACCCAUGGGCAGAAAUGCGCUCCAUACCCUUGCCCAACCGGGUCGGGUAUCCAUGGGUAUCCAUAUCCAUGGAUAAACUUGCCAUCCCUACUGAAACUAUUCCACAUUGUUUUAAUGAAGGCCAAACUCGUAACUCAAAUAUUCUCCUCCACGAUCAGAUCGUAGAAACUUUAUUUUCUUGUUACGAUGAUUCUCCACUUGACUGAAAUUCUUUGAACUUUUCAAAUGUUUCAGACUUGUGUUUCAUUAAGUAGAUAUGCCCAUAUCUGCUUAAAUCAUCUGUGAAGGUCAGAAAAUAACUAUACCCACCACGAGCAUCAACACUCAUUGGACCGCAUAUAUCGGUAUGUAUUAUUUCCAAUAAGUCAGUAGCUUGUUCCAUUGUUCCGGAGAACGGAGUUUUAGUCAUCUUGCCCAUAAGGCAUGGUUCGCAAGUAUCAAAUGAUUCAUAAUCAAGUGAUUCCAAAAGUCCAUCUUUAUGGAGUUUCUUGAUGCGCUUUACACCGAUAUGACCCAAACGGCAGUUCCACAAAUAAGUUGCACUAUCAUUAUGAACUUUGUAUCUUUUGGCAUCAAUAUUAUGUGUAUCAUUAUGAUCGAGAUUCAAUAAACCAUCAACAUUGGGUGUAUGACCAUAGAAGGUUUUAUUCAUGUAAACAGAAUAACAAUUAUCCUCUGUCUUAAAUGAAUAACCAUAUUGCAAUAAACAUGAUCUAAUCAUAUUUAUGCUCAACGCAAACACCAAAUAACAUUUAUUUAGGCUCAACACUAAUCCUCAAAGUAUAGGGGUGUGCGAUGAUGAUCAUAUCAAUCUUGGAACUACUUCCAACACACAUCAUCACUUCAUCCUCAACUAGUCUCUAUUUAUUCUGCAACUCCUGUUUCGAGUUACUAAUCUUAGCAACUGAACAAGUAUCAAAUACCCAGGGAUUACCACGAGCACUAGUAAGGUACACAUCAAUAAUAUUUAUAUCAAAUAUACCUUUGUUCACUAUGCCAUCCUUCUUAUCCGCCAAAUAUUUGGGGCAGUUCCACUUCCAGUGACCAUUUCCUUUGCAGUAGAAGCACUCAGUUUCAUGCUUAGGUACAGCUUUGUGCUUCUUCACGGGACUGACAACUUGCUUUCCAUUCUUCUUGAAGUUCCCUUUCUUCCCUUUGCCCUUUUCUUGAAACUAGUGGUAUUGUUUAAUCAUCAAUACUUGAUGCUCUUUCUUGAUUUCUACCUUCGUCGAUUUCAGCAUCACGAACCGCUCAGGAAUAUUUUUUCGUCAUCCCUUGCAUACUAUAGUUCAUCACGAAGUUCCAGUAACUUGGUGAUGGUGACUAGAGAACUCUGCCAAUCACUAUCUUAUCUGGAAGAUUAACUCCCACUUGAUUCAAGUGAUUGUAGUACCCAGACAUUCUAAGCACAUUCUCACUAGUUGAGCAAUUCUCCUCCAUCUUUUAGGCAAAGUACUUGUCAGAGGUCUCAUACCUCUUGACACGGGCAUGAGUCUGAAAUACCAAUUUCAGCUCUUCGAACAUCUCAUAUGCUCUGUGAUGUUUCAAAAAUGUUUUUGAAGUCCCGGUUCUAAGCCGUAAAGCAUGGUGCACUAGAGUAUCAAGUAGUCAUCAUAUUGAGCUAGCCAAACGUUCAUAAUGUUUUUGUCUGCUCCUGCAAUAGGUCUGUCACCUAGCGGUGCAUCAAGGACAUAAUUAUUUUGUGCAGCAAUGAGGAUAAACCUCAGAUCACGGACCCAGUCCGCAUCAUUGCUACUAUCAUCGUUCAACUUAUUUUUCUCUAGGAACAUAUCAAAAAUAAAGGGAAUCUACAACGCGAGCUAUGGAUCUACAACAUAAUUUGCAAAAUACUAUCAGGACUAAGUUCAUGAUAAAUUAAAGUUCAGUUAAUCAUAUUACUUAAGAACUCCCACUUAGAUAGACAUCCCUCUAGUCAUCUACAUGAUCACGUGAUCCAAAUCAACUAAACCAUGUUCGGUCAUCACGUGAGAUGGAGUAGUUUUCAAUGGUGAACAUAACUAUGUUUAUCAUAUCUACUAUAUGAUUCACGCUCGACCCUUCGGUCUCCAGUGUUCCGAGGCCAUAUUUGCAUAUGCUAGGCUCGUCAAGUUUAACCCGAGUACUCUACGUGUGCAAAACUGGCUUGCACCCGUUGUAUGUGAACGUAGAGCCUAUCACACCCGAUCAUCAUGUGGUGUCUCAGCAUGAAGAACUGUCGCAACGGUGCAUACUCAGAGAGAACACUUAUACCUUGAAAUUUUAGUAAGGGAUCAUCUUAUAAUGCUACCGUCGAACUAAGCAAAAUAAGAUGCAUAAAAGAUAAACAUCACAUGCAAUCAAAAUAUGUGACAUGAUAUGGCCAUCAUCAUCUUGUGCCUUUGAUCUCCAUCUCCAAAGCAUCGUCAUGAUCUCCAUUGGCACCUGCUUGACACAUUGAUCUCCAUCGUAGUGUCGUGGUCGUCUCGCCAACUAUUGCUUCUACAACUAUCGCCAACUCAUAGUGAUAAAGUAAAGAAAUUACAUGGCGUUUGCAUUUCAUACAAUAAAGCGACAACCAUAAGGACCUUGCCAGUUGCCGAUAACUUUUACAAAACAUGAUCAUCUCAUACAAUAAUGUAUAUCACAUCAUGUCUUGACCAUAUCACAUCACAACAUGCCUUGCAAAAACAAAUUAGACGUCCUCUACUUUGUUUUUGCAAGUUUUACGUGGCUGCUAUGGGCUUCUAGCAAGAACGUUCUUACCUACGCAUCAAAACCACAAUGGUGAUUUAUCAAGUUUGGUGUUUUAACCUUCAACAAGGACCGGCCGCAGUCAAAUUCGAUUCAACUAAAGUUGGAGAAACAGACACCCGCCAGCCACCUUUAUGCAAAACAAGUUACAUGUCUGUCAGUGGAACCGGUCUCAUGAACGUGGUCAUGUAAGGUUGGUCCGAGCCCACUUCAUCCAACAAUACCGUCGAAUCAAAAUAAGAUGUUGGUGGUAAGAAGUAUGACGAUCACCACCCACAACUUUUCGUCUUCUACUCGUGCAUAUCAUCUACGCAUAGACCUGGCUUGGAUGCCACUCUUGGGAAACGUAGCAAGCAAUUUCAAAAAAAAUCCUACGCUCAUGCAAGAUCUAUCUAGGAGAUGCAUAGCAACAAGAGGGGGAGAGUGUGUCCACGUACCCUCGUAGACCGAAAGAGGAAGCGUUUGACAACUUGGUUGAUGUAGUCGAACUUCUUCUAGCUCCGACCGAUCAAGUACCGAACGUACAGCACCUCCGAGUUCUGCACACAUUCAGCGCGAUGAUGUCCCUUGCCUUCUUGAUCCAGCAAGGUGUAGAGGAAGUACAUGAGUUCUGUCAACACGACGGCGUGGUGACGGUGAUGGUGAAGUGAUACGCGCAGGGCUUCGACUAAGCACCACGAGAAUAUGACCGGAGGCAUAAACUGUGGAGGGGGGUGCCGCACAUGGCUAACGAUUAUUAUUGUGUGUUAUAGGCGGCCCCUUCCCCACAUAUAUAUAGGUGGGAGGGGAGGAGAGGCAGCCAAGGGGCACCCCAAGUAGGAUCUGAAUCCUACUUGGGGUGUCCCAAGUGGCGCUCCCUUUCCAUGUAUGCAUGAAGGGGAAGGAAAGAGGGGGUGAGGGAAGGAAGUGGGAGUCCUAAUCCACACUUUCCUUUCCCUUCCCCCAUUUCCUUCUCCUCCUCCUAUGGCCUUAUAGGGCGCACCAGCCCCUUGUCGGCUGGUGUGUUCCUUCACAAGGACCAUAUGGCCCAUAGGAUUGUCGGGGGCACCCGAAACACCUUUCGGUGACCCGAUAAGUACCCGAUAACCUCCGGAACACUUCCGGUGUCUGAAUACCAUCGUUCUAUAUAUCAAUCUUUACCUAUUGACCAUUUCGAGACUCAUUGUCAUGUCCAUGAUCUCACCAGGACUCCAAACAACAUUCGGUCACCAAAUCACAUAACUCAUAUAAUACAAUAUCGUCAUCGAACGUUAAGCGUGCGGGCCCUACGGGUUCAAGUACUAUGUAGACAAGAGCGAGACACCUCUCUGGUCAAUAACCAAUAGCGGGACCUAGAUGCUCAUAUUGGCUCCGACAUAUUCUACGAAGAUCUUUAUCGGUCGAACCGUUAUGACAACAUACGUUAUUCCCUUUGUCAACGGUAUGUUACUUGCCCGAGAUUCGAUCGUCGGUAUCUACAUACCUAGUUCAAUCUCGUUACCGGCAAGUCUCUUUACUCGUUCCAUAAUACAUCAUCUUGUAACUAACUCAUUAGUCACUUUGCUUGCAAGGCUUGUUAUGAUGUGCAUUACCGAGAGGGCCGGAGAUACCUCUCCGAUACUCGGAGUGACAAAUCCUAAUCUCGAUUUAUGCCAACCCAACAAACACCUUUGGAGAUACCUGUAGAGCAUCUUUAUAAUCACCCAGUUACGUUGUGACGUUUGAUAGCACACAAGGUAUUCCUCCAGUAUCCGGGAGUUGCAUAAUUUCAUAGUCGAAGGAAUAUGUAUUUGACAUGAAAAAAGCAAUAGCAAUAAAACUGAACGAUCAAUAUGCUAAGCUAACGGAUGGGUCUUGUACAUCACAUCAUUCUCCUAAUGAUGUGAUCCCGUUCAUCAAAUGACAAUACAUGUCUAUGGUUCGGAAACUUAACCAUCUUUGAUUAACGAGCUAGUCUAGUAGAGGCUUACUAGGGAUACAGUGUUUUUUCUAUGUAUCCGCACAUGUAUCAAGUUUCCGGUUAAUACAAUUCUAACAUGAAUAAUAAACAUUUAUCAUGAUAUAAGGAAAUAUAAAAUAACAACUUUAUUAUUACCUCUAGGGCAUAUUUCCUUCAAAACUCAUCUACAAUGUUCAAUUUAAACUAGGCUAUAAAAACUACAAACAACAUGUACCAAAUUCAUGUAAAAAAUGUGAUGUUGAAGCAAUACAUACCUUGAGGACGUUUUGUCAAACACCUUGCGAGCGCCGAGUGGUAAAGGGAGGCUGGGCGCUGUUCGUCGGAGGACUGCUGCGUGCGAGGGGCGGUGGUGACUAGAGGGAGAUAGAGGAAGCAGCGGUAGCGCGGGGAUAGGCCGGGGAAGCGCUAAAACGGUGGCCGGAAGAAAUGGGGUGCCAUGGGUGGCGGCAGCGCCAGCGGCUGGAUGGGGUAGGUGGAGUUGCAAGCGGGCGCUCGAGUGUCCAACGCGCGGGAGCGAGCGCAGCAAAUAAGUGGCGUGCGAUGGCAUUUCGGCCCGCGCGCUGAACUAGUUUUUGCGUCUCCGCUGGAGCGCCCGGAGCGGUAGCGCGCGUGUAAAACGCACUGAUUUUUUAGUGCAGCGCUUAUGUAAUGCCCCGGAUCCGAUGCGCCAGGUGUCUGCUAGUUAUUUGUCGGCGUUGCCAUGUCAUUUGCUUGCUUGUUGCAUUUUAUCAUGUCAUCAUGUGCAUCUCAUUUUGCAUACGUGUUCGUCUCAUGCAUCCGAGCAUUUUCCCCGUUGUCUGUUUUCCAAUCCGACACUCCUAUGUCAUCCGGCGUUCCCCUUUUGUCUCCUAUUGUGAGAGGGUGUUAAACGUUCUCGGAAUGGACCGAGUCUUGCCAAGCGGCCUUGGUAUACCACCGGUAGACCGCCUGUCAAGUUUCGUGCCAUUUGGAGGUCGUUUGAUACUCCUACGGUUAACCGCCUAGCCCGCAAAGCCCCUUUUGUCUUGCAGACCAAACCCCCUCCAACUAGCCCAAAACCCAUCCAAACCCCUUCCAUGCUCUCGGUCGUUCGAUCACGAUCGUGUGGGCGAAAACCGCACCCCAUUUGGAGUCUCCUAGCUCCCUCUACCUACAAAUAGGUGUCUCCCCCUGAAUUUUCGCGCAGAUGAACCCUAGCCUCUUCCCCUGCGCGCGCCGGACAUGUCCGCCCGGUGGCCGGACACGUCCACCGCCGCCUCCACCUCACUCCGGCCAAUCGCGGCCUGCCACGUCAUCNNNNNNNNNNNNNNNNNNNNNNNNNNNNNNNNNNNNNNNNNNNNNNNNNNNNNNNNNNNNNNNNNNNNNNNNNNNNNNNNNNNNNNNNNNNNNNNNNNNNNNNNNNNNNNNNNNNNNNNNNNNNNNNNNNNNNNNNNNNNNNNNNNNNNNNNNNNNNNNNNNNNNNNNNNNNNNNNNNNNNNNNNNNNNNNNNNNNNNNNNNNNNNNNNNNNNNNNNNNNNNNNNNNNNNNNNNNNNNNNNNNNNNNNNNNNNNNNNNNNNNNNNNNNNNNNNNNNNNNNNNNNNNNNNNNNNNNNNNNNNNNNNNNNNNNNNNNNNNNNNNNNNNNNNNNNNNNNNNNNNNNNNNNNNNNNNNNNNNNNNNNNNNNNNNNNNNNNNNNNNNNNNNNNNNNNNNNNNNNNNNNNNNNNNNNNNNNNNNNNNNNNNNNNNNNNNNNNNNNNNNCGACCAGCUCCCUCCGCAGCCCCGGCCUCCCUCCGCCUCGGGCCCGCCUCUGCCGCCCUCGCCGCCCAGCUCCUCUCGCCGGAGCCGCAGCUCGCCUCCCCGCCGCCUCUUCCUCGCCUCGGCUAGGACCGGCCCACCAUCGUCCGGAUCGGAGGGGCCCUGCCGCGCCUCGUCGCGCCCCGCCUCCGCCCUUCCCCGUCGACGCCGACCACCUCCUACUCCUCCCCGCGCCGCUGGGAGCUCGCCGGAGUUCGCCCUCGCCGGAGUUCGCCGGAUCCAGGAAGCUGUACCAGAUCCACCAAGCCCCCGAUCCAAACGCCCCCGUCCCGGAUCGCCCCGUCCAGCUUUUCCCCGAGGUGAUUUUUUGGCCAAGUCCCCGAAAUAUUUUGCAUAAUGUUGCCAUGUUCAUCGCAUCAUAAAUUCAUACAUACUGCUCCGUUUCGUGCGUGUAAUAUGUCAAAUUGUUCGCCUCAACGAGUACUUCAACUCUUUCCAUUGCAUCAUGUUCAUUUGAGCUCAUCUUGAUGCCUGAAUCAUCGUUGCAAGAGUGAUAUAUGAUGUUGUCUGCUGUCUGUUAACAGAACAUGCUCAUUUGUCAUUUUUGCCAUGAUUGAUGUAUGCAUCCUAUGAGGUUGAUGUCUACAUGUGUUUUGAACUAUGUCAUGUCUUCUUUAUAGAGGUACUUACCAUGUAUUUUUGUGAUGAAUGUGGUGACUAGCACAAUCAUCUAAACUAGGCUUCGUGAUGAUGCUGAUUUUAGUCCCUGUUCUGUUGUUAUUUCGAUGCCAUGUAAACAUGUUGCUACAGAGAGAUCCAUGCUUAUUUUGAGAUACUUCAGUAAGGAUGUUUUGAACAUGUGCUUAUGAUCUAUCCAUUAAUGCCCUUGGUUACAAUUAUGGAGUAGUCUAGCAUGUCAUUUUCGUGCUCUACUUUUGCUAUAAAAUGUUUCCUGGCAGAUUGUUUACAUGUCAUUCAAUUUUGACAAUGUUGUUGUAGUUGAUCCUUGCAUGCUAUGAACUUGUUCUUACCUUGUUUAGUUUCAUAAACAUGUCUUCUUGCUGAUUCUAUGCUUAUCUUGUUAUUCAAUGACUUGUGGUGAGUGAAUCAAGCUUGUUAAGUAGUGUACUCGCUGUUGCCGUUUUGCUAGGUUGAAUCUGUUAUUUUGUGAUGCUAUGUAAACCUGCUGCUACAAGUCAUUCUAUGCAUAUGCUGGAGAUGUUCACUAAGGGUAUUUUGUUAUACAUGUCAUGCUCUAUCCAUCCAUGCCCCUGGUUGCAUUUAUGGCCUGCUGUAGCUUGUUGUAAUCUUGCUCCAAAGUUGCUAAAUAAUGUUGUUGUCAGCCUGUUAACAUUAAGUUCAGUUGUUGCCAUGAUUGUUGUUAGUGAUACAUCCACCCUAUGAACUUGCUCUUGCCAUUCCUAGCUUCAUAAAUAUGUCUUCUUACUGUUGGUUGCCUUGCCAUGCCAUGUUUUGCUUGGUGGUGAGUGGUACAAGCUCGCCAACAUGCCUACUUAUUGUUGUUCCUGCCAUGUAUGAAUCUGUAUUAUAACUUGCUAUGUUUACAUGGGUGCCAUCAUAUCUUCUGAUCCUUUUUUGGUUCAUGGUCAGUAAGGGCCUUUUGUUCUAUGCAUUUAGUAGGUUCAUGCCAUGCCUUUGUUUGCCAUGACAAGUUCCUGUAACAUGUUGUUUGAUAGCUCUAAACAUUGCAACCUGAUGUUAUUUUCUGCAAAGUCUGAACUAUUAUUAUUUGCAAUCUUGCCAUGUGUGUUUGAGCAUGUUCUAGUGAUUUCUGGAGAUAGCUCAGUGUUCAUGUUUUGUUAUGAUUUACCUGUAAAUCAUGCUCAUGCCUUUUGUUUUCUUGUUGGGGUCCUGUAGCAUGUUGUUUUGAUGCUUGUAAUAUGCCUAGUUGCUGUUUUGGACAGAUUGUUGCUAUAACUUGUAUAGAGUGUGUGUUGAACCGUUGCUCCGUUUUGAGUGUGCUCUAUAUGAAACUUUCUUGAAUUUGCAUGUAGCUUCAUAUUAUCAUGUUGCAUCCUUGUUUUGGAGUGUUUGCUUGAUGUUUGUAUGCAUUUUGCAUCAAUGCCAUGUUUAUCUUGUUUUGCCCAUAUCUUCUAGGUCGUAGCUCCGAACUAAAUGAACCUUAUAUGUAACUUGACUAGAAUCUCGUGUAGAUCAUCUUGGUGCAUCUUAACUUGCUGUUUAACAACUUGAACAUAAGGUUAAUUCAGAUCUGGACCAAUUUCGAAAUUUGCAUAUGAGGACUUACCGGGUUAGUUCUAUGUUGCUUCCGGCCUCAUUUAAACUUGCCUUGAUGUGUUCUCUUGUAUGCAUCAUCUCUUGCCAUGAGUGGCUUCAUGUAGUCUUGUCUUGUAUCAUACUUGUUUGUGCAUCAUGACAUGUUCAUGUGUGGUGUGUUUACUAUGUUGUGUGCUUCUUUUCGAUAGUUCCUGUUUCUGUUGCGAUUGUGAGGAUUCAUUCGUCUACGCUUGGCUCAUCUUCGUGGCUUCAUCUUCUGGACUUGUUCUUCUUCCUAGCGGGAUUUCAGGCAAGAUGACCGCUACCCUGGAUCUCACUACUAUCAUUGCUAUGCUAGUUGCUUCGUUCUAUCGCUAUGCUGCGCUACCUACCGUUUACUCUUCAAGCCAUCCCAAAUUGCCAUGAACCCCUAACCUUUGACACCCUUCCUAGCAAACCGUUGUUUGGCUAUGUUACCGCUUUGCUCAGCCCCUCUUAUAGCGUUGUUAGUUGCAUGUGAAGUUGAAGAUUGCUCCUUGGUGGACAGGAUUAUGUUUGGGAUAUCACAAUAUCUCUUAUUUAAUUGAUGCAUCUAUAUACUUGGUAAAGGGUGGAAGGCUCGGCCUUAUGCCUGGUGUUUUGUUCCACUCUUGCCGCCCCUAGUUUCCGUCAUAUCGGUGUUAUGUUCCCGGAUUUUGCGUUCCUUACGCUGUUGGGUGAUUUAUGAGACCCCCUUGACAGUUCGCUUUGAAUAAAACUCCUCCAGCAAGGCCCAACCUUGGUUUUACCAUUUGCCUCACCUAGCCUUUUUUCCCCUUGGGAGUCGCGCUCUCGAGGGUCAUAUUUAUUUAACCCCCCCCCCUCCCCCGGGCCAGUGCUCGUCAUGAGUGUUGGUCCAAUCUGUCAGCCGCCAGUGGCCACCAGGGGCAACUCUGGGCUGGCCUACCGGAAGUUUGGACAAUCCGGUGUGCCCUGAGAACGAGAUAUGUGCAGCUCCUAUCAGAAUUUGUCGGCACAUUCGGGCGGCUUUGCUGGUCUUGUUUUACCAUUGUCGAAAUGUCUUGUAAACCGGGAUUCCGAGUCUGAUCGGGUCUUCCUGGGAGAAGGUAUAUCCUUCGUUGAUCGUGAGAGUUUAUCAUGGGCUAAGUUGGGACACCCCUGCAGGGUAUAAUCUUUCGAAAGUCGUGCCCGCGGUUAUGCGGCAGAUGGGAAUUUGUUAAUGUCCGGUUGUAGAUAACUUGACACCAGAUCCAAAUUAAAACGCAUCAACCGCGUGUGUAGCCGUGAUGGUCUCUUUUCGGUGGAGCCCGGGAAGUGAACACGGUUUUGGGUUAUGUUUGACGUAAGCAGGAGUUCAGGAUCACUUCUUGAUCAUUGCUAGUUGACGACCGUUCCGCUUGCUCUCUUCUCGCUCUUAUUUGCGUAUGUUAGCCACCAUAUAUGCUUAGUCGCUGCUGCAGCCUCACCACUUUACCCCUUCCUUUCCCUUUAAGCUUUGCUAGUCUUGAUACCCAUGGUAAUGGGAUUGCUGAGUCCUCGUGGCUCACAGAUUACUACAAUAACAAUUGCAGGUACAGGUUAUGCGAUGAUCAUGAUGCGAGAGCGACGUUUGCUUGUUUGGAGUUCUUCUUCUGCUUCUUCUUCGAUCAGGGGAUAGGUUCCAGGUCGGCAGCCUGGGCUAGCAGGGUGGAUGUCGUUUGAGUUUUUGUUUGUGUUUCAUCCGUAGUCAGAUGUUGUUCUUAUGCAUAAUGAUGUUGUAUUCGUGUGGCAUUGUAUGCCUUUUGUAUGUAUCCCCAUCUAUUAUGUAAUGUUGAUGUAAUAAUAUCCACCUUGCAAAAGUGUUUCAAUAUGCGGUUCUAUCCUUGGUGGGACCUUCGAGUCUCUUUAGGAUAGUAUCGCAUAUUGGGCAUGACAGCUUAUAUAGCGCGUCUAUUGGAGAUGCUCUUAGUGGGGAGGUGGGGCGUGGGAGCUCUUUAUUUUGGAGGGAUCGAGAGGAGUGGGAACGAUGGGCUCCAGGGGUUCGGCAAACGGGGCCCUUAUAGACGCGAGGGGUACCACAAUAUUAUUAUUAUUAUUUAUAUAUAUAUAUAUAUAUAUAUAUAUUGUUGGAACAUUCUAAAGAGACUUUGCAGAAUGAUUACCUCACUGCAAUUGCUUCAUUGAUUUGACAAGCUUCCAAUAAUUUGCAUGACUGAAAGUAUAAAACUAACAUUUAAGUAUGAUGACAGUCACUUAUACAUUUUCCAACUGUUGUUUGCCUGACCUCACAAACAUACUAAUUCAGUGAUUAGUUCAUUUUCCUUUUGUCUCUUAUCUACAUUCUAAGAAUGCACCUCAUGAACGUUUACAAUAUGGCAUACUAAUAUCCCGCAGCAACGCGCGGGGUAUCAUCUAGUUUAGCCAGUACUAUAAGACCUAACAUUUCUUUUGUUGUUAUCAAACUGAGCCGAUUUUUUUGAAAACCGGGAGAUGAUCAUUGGAAAGCUUUAGAGAGAGUUAUGCGUUAUUUGAAAGGCACUGCGAAUUAUGGAAUUCACUACACUAAGUACCCAAAGGUGCUUGAAGGGUAUAAUGACUCAAACUGGAUCUUAGAUGCUGAUGAGAUAAAGUCCAUGAGCGGAUAUGUAUUCACUCUGGAGGUGGCGUUGUUUCUUGGAAGUCUUGCAAGCAAACCAGCUUAGUAAGGUCAACAAUGGAAGCAGAACUCACAACACUAGAUACACCUACGGUCAAAGCAGAUUGGCUUCGUCGGCUCUUGAAUGACUUGCCAGUUGUUGAGAAAACUCUACCAGGUAUACUUAUGAACUGCGACAAUCAAACUAUGAUCACGAAAAUGAGCAGCUCAAAGGAUAACAUGUUCAGAGAAGGUUAGAGUCUGUCAGAAAAAUGAGAAAAUUCGGAGUUAUUGUAUUGGAUUAUAUCCAAACAUCGAAAAAUCUGGCAGAUUCUUUUACUAAGGGUCUAUCACGUAAUGUGAUAGAUAAUGCAUCGAAGGAGAUGGGUAUGAGACCCAUAAUAUAAGUUGUUCAUAGUGGUAACCUAGUCUAUGUGGUCGAGUUAGAAACACCAUGAAGAAUCCUCUUUAAGCUAAGAAUAUAAUCAUCUUCUGUUUGUGACCUGUCAUAGAUUUAAGCUGUAUACUUUACAAAACGCCAGAAUUAUCUUAUGGAAGCAUAACAUUGCAGUUUAAAAUAAUGCCUAGGAGUUUUUUUUAGAAAAGGAGGAUGACCCCCGGCCUCUGCAUCUGGGCGAUGCAUACGGUCACUUUAUUAAUUAUUCUCACAAGACCUUACAAAGUAAUACCACAGUAAUCCUAAAGCCGCCCUCUAAGCAACAAACUGUCGCUACACCUAUCCAGUUGAUGAAGGGGCUCAGAUAGACUGGGCCUAAUACCAAACAAACAUCGCAGCCAAACCUAACAUCUAAGACCUGAGGACCCAUCCAGGACGCCUGCCGGGCAUGGGUCUCGCCGGUCCGGCGUGCUCUCAGAGGCCGCUGCCGCAAACUGCCACCGCUCCAUUUUCAGAACUGUACUGAUGCAUCAACCUCGCUAGGUGUAGCUAUCAUCGACGCCACCACGGCGCCCAACGACACCUCCUCCCUGUGCGCAAACAGCUGAGCACGUUGUGGUCGCCACUGAUACACCUCAGCACCAUGCUGUCAAGUACCACCAGCCGACACAGCUUGAAGUCUUUGGAGAAUCUGUCAUGCGUACCACCUGCCGAUCAGGCAUGACAAAGCGUAGGUUAGACAUGACUUGACAUCUCCACCGAAGCUCCGUGCAAGGCGAAGCCGCUCCACCUCCUGCCUCUGACUUCCAGCGCUGCUCCACAAACAAUGCUCCCAAGAGAGAAACGACACCGCAGUGUCGCCAUCGUCCGAUCUGGAACACCAGAUCCUAGGGUUUCCUCCAGAGCAGCACGAGUGGGUCGACAGUAGUUACACGACGAUGCCUCCAUCAAGGAAACGGCGUAGAAUGCCGCCAUCACCUUCCAACGGCUCGGUUUUCAGCGGCAACCAUGUUUCCCCAACUCGCAGCCGGGACUAGAUGAUGGAUCCCGAGAUCCGAUCACCAAGCCUCUAGCCGGCCAUCUCUGACGAAGAAGAUGACCACCACCAUUGGCCAGCGAGACGACGCCAGAUGAAGUAGGGCGCUGCCAGCGUGCGUCCUGGCCAGCACCACCAGCGCUCGGCCUGUCCCGGACCACGCCUCAUGACCGAGGGCAACGACAAGCGCUGCCCCGGCGAGGACGCAGACCGGAAGCCCAGAUCUGGUCCACCCGCGCGCUGCCACGUGGCCACCACCAAGCGCCGUUCAGGGACAGCCCCGCCGCCGUGAGGGACGCCGCCCCACGGGCAGCAGGCGCCGACCACCGGCGGAACUCCGCCGCGCGCCACCAGCCACCGCGAGAUCUUCGCGAGAACGACGAGGACCCCCCGCCGCCACCUUCCCUGGGGACCACGCGGGCUUCGCCUGUGUCCCCUCCGGGGGCGGCGAAGCGGGGGAGGAGCGGGAAGGGGCGGCUGGCGGCGAGGUUAGGGUUUUCCCCAUGCGCCAGAGGCGACGCGCGGGGGACGUCUCUCGUCUCGUCUCAUCUCUACUUGCCUGUAAGAAAUGAUCCCUAGGAGUACAUUCAUAAGAGCUCACAUACCAUGUGAUCUUCACAUGGAUAGCCAAAAGCUGCUGCUCUUUGUCUUGCACAGACCAAACGGAUGGGAAGAAGGUUCACAACGUGGAACAAUAUCAUCCAGAGAACUAUUGUUUCUCCAUGAGUGAGCUGUGCAUGAGUUAAAGACAAGUGAAAGAAUCGACAAACUAACUACAAAUAAAUUCCUGGCCAUCAGGUGAUGUAGAAUCAUAUGUUACUAUGAUUCUGAUAGUUUCUGCAAGUGGUACAAUUUUCUGCGGAAGAGCAAGAAUAGUGUUGACACAAAUUGCAGCCUCUCUUUUCAGAGAACGGCGCUGCUUUUGGGUCGCUGGUUACUGGCAUAAAUACUGGAGGAACGGUCUCCAAGUAAGAAACGGUGUCCCGUCUUGAACCGUAACUUAACAAAAUUACCGAAAAGAGUACGUAUUAGAUUGCUGUCUUUGCUUGUGUGAAAUCAAGCUUGACAGAGGCACGGACAGGCCACACAAUUGCAGGAAAAAAAACUGGAUCCUUAUUCUGUCAAAAAGUGUAGAUUGCACGUGCAUAAGCAAGGUAGCUAAGUAAGUACUCCCUCCGCCCCAAAAUAAAUGUCUUAACCUUAAUAAAAUUUUAUAUUAAAAUUAAUAUAAAGUUAAGACACUUAUUUUGAAAUCGAAAGAGUAGAACAGAAGAACGAUUGGCGUAAAAGGUAAAACUAAUCAUGCCAUCUUGAUGAUCAGAGAUGAAGACCCCUAUGCUUCACUUCACACCAAUUGUGUGAGUACUAACAAUGCUUUUGUUCCUCAUUAUUAUUUCCUUUCUCCACCGCUGGGCCACUUGUGCGUUUCUCUUCUUAUAUUCCACUAACGAAAAUCAGCAGUCUUGCUCCUUUUUCCUCAUUUUUUUAAGUGCAAUGUACGACUCCAUUCCACUACAAAUAUUUUCUAAGUGGGAACUUGUUGCAUUUUAUUAAAUCACCGAAAUUCCAAGUUUACCACCGACUAUCCGAAACCAUGUUUUACACGACUUAUUCAUACAAUCUUCCUUAACUACAAUAUGUACAGUGCCAUUAGCAAAACGACACAUCCAACCGACUUAGCCUCUCCAACUACCAAUAUUAGGCCAUCUCCAAAGCGGACCUUCAAAUCACCCACAUACGUCUGGACCGCAAGGUCUGGACGUGGUUUGUCAUUCAAUGCAGGCAUAUAUCGAUCCGCCGAGCGGUUCAGACGUAUUUUUCCAGCAAACUCGAGACAAACAUAGAGGGCUUUGCAGGAGUCCGGACAAUAUCCACGUAGGAAUCGACACCCCUGGCCCAUCCAAAACCCCUCCCGAACACCACGCCUCCAUCCUCCCCAUUUUCUCUCCUUUCUCUCCCGCCUUUGCCGCCGCUCCACCACCCCGGCCGCCAUGCCACACCCCUUCCGGAACUCUACGUCUCCGUCACCUCGAGUGUUCCAGCCGGGCUCCAUCCCGUUUCUCCUCCGUCGUCAUUCAACUCCUCCCCUCCGACUGCCUCGCCAGGUAGCAUCCGCUAUUGCUAUACUCAACAUGCAUGACAACUGUUCGAUGAAUUGCUAGAGCUAAAAAGUCGUCCCUUCUUCUUUCAAGCAAUGGAUUCCGUUUUGGAGUACAUAUACGAGCACUAUGUUGAGUUGUUCGAUGGUUCGUUCAACGAGGAGGGCUGCCCGGAUGAGAUGCCGAUGAUGCAAGCAGUCUUUGAAGACGCGGAGCGUGCAGAGGAGCAUGUUCUCAAUUUGAAGGGAGCGAUCAAGGGUCAUCGAAUACUCAACCGCAACAGGGCGCCCGACCAUUUGACACCGAUGAAUGACUACUUUGCCCCGGAUGCACUCUUCGCUGACCAUUUUUGCCGGCGUUUUCAUAUGUGCAAGAUUGUCUUCGAUAGUUUGUACCAUGGCCCCGAUCCUAUGAUGACUAUUUCAUCUUAAAGAAGGGCACCGUGGGAACGAUUGGGUUCUCUGGUUGCCAGAAGUGCACGGCCGUACUCCGGAUGCUUGCAUAUGGCACGACCACUGAUUUGUGGGGCGAGUACCUACGGAUGUCUGAGAGCAUAUGCAGAGAUGUCGUGGUCAGGUUUGCAACUACUAUGGUUGAGGUGUUUGGACCUCCAUACCUGAGAGAACCAACUGUGGCAGACACUGAGAGGCUCUUGGCAAUCUCGGAAGCAAGAAGGUGGCCAUGUUUCCUUGGAUCUCUGCAUGCAUUGGAAAUGGAAGAACCACCUGAAGGCUUUACAAGGGCAAUAUCACGGUCAUGUUAAGAAGCCCACCAUCAUUCUUGAGGCAGUUGCAUCACAUAAUCUUUGGAUUUGGCACACUUUUUUUGGCAUGCCCGGUCUCACAAUGACAUCAAUGUGCCAAAGCGAUCAUCAUUGUUUGCGAGGCUGAUUGAAAGAAAAACUCCUCCUUGCUAAUAUACUGUCAAUGGACAUCAGUACAACAUGAGCUACUAUGUUGUGGCUGUAUCUAUCCUUCGUGGGCUACCUUUUUCAACACCAUCCUUAACCUAGUUUUCUAGAAAAAGUCUCAUUUUGCCCAAAGACAAGAAGCAGCUAGAAAUGAUAUCCAGAGGGUAUUUGGAGUUCUGCAGGUCCGUUUUGCAAUUGUUCGUGGACCUGCUAAACAAUGGAUCUAGAGACCUUGUGGGAGGUUAUGACAUGUUGUGUGAUCAUGCACAAUAUGAUCGUCGAGGAUGCUGCCACGUCUCUAGAAUUUAAGAAAAUGGUUGAUCCUAUCGAACUUCCAAACCAGAAUCCGAGUACAUUUGAAGGCUUUAUUCAAAUGCAUCAACAAAUUCGGCAUCGAGCAACUCACGAGCAGCUGAAGGAAGAUCUAUUGAGCAUCUUCGACGGUCAAAGGCCUAUGUAUGUGGCUAUUUAAACAUGCGGACUUUCAGAAAAAAAAUAGAGGCCGGAUGUAUGCGGGCAGCGUUGGAUGGUCGGCUCCUGCAUCCUUGUCCGCGGACUGGUCUUCCUCUGUUCGCGGAUAAAUGCGGGAGGAAAUUUGCGGGUCACUGUUGGAGAUGUCCUUAUUGAUCUAAGUGGUUGAGACCGAAAGAAACUAUUUGAACAUUUUUGGAUGAGAAAAAUGAUCUCAUCUACCUGUGUUAUUGAUCUAAGUGGUUGAGAAGAAAAACAUAUAGGAACAUUUUCGGAUGAGAAAAAUGAUCUCACCUAGACGGGGACCAUUAUCUCUGAUGAACAAAUAUCAUUAUUAUUUCUGAAGUAAAAAUAGCAACCGUAUUGUAGCAAUUGAAACCGGGUUGCGUUUUCAGCACAUGACCCACCACUUCUAUCUGUCCUCUGAAACGCAUCUUCUCCUUCCUUCCCUAUAAAUACACGAGUGCCACUUCCUCAGGAAAACCAGAGUGAUACUUCCGUUUGACAACCUAACACACAACAGAUACUCUUUCAGCCAGGAGACACAGAUCUCACGCCCUCUCGAGGCACUGCAAGCUCGGCAACGAUGAUCGGCGAAAUGGACGCGGACAUGGUCGUAGGAUACUUCGGCGGCAAGAGCAUCCUCAUCACCGGCUCAACUGGGUUCUUAGGAAAAGGUACGUGUUCAUGCACGGCUAAUCGUUCAGGAUGUGCGCUGCGUUUUAGCUGAUCAUCUCAGAGGGCCAUACGCUGGUUGUUCUGAUCUGAGGGCAGUUCUCGUGGAGAAGAUACUCAGGGUGCAGCCUGAUGUCAAGAAGCUCUUCCUCUUGGUUCGCGCCCCCGACGUCGAAUCCGCAAAGCUUCGGAUUCAGACUGAGGUGAAGUGUUUCAUUCUGGCCUCUCUCUCUUUGAUUUCGAUAACAUGUCUUGUAAGUUGUAACUCCCCCGCGUCUGAACUUUCGUCGCCAUUUUAAUUUGUUCCGGACAAUACAAUCCUUGCUUACUUUCUGAACUUCUCUCUGCCAUUCAAGAACAGAGGGAACUUCAGAAAUAUAGGUGAUGUCAAAACUCGUACUGCACGGAGAGAAGUUCAGUAUUAUUGUGUGCACGUGCGCAAAUAUAGGUGAUGUCAAAACUCGUACUGCACGGAACUCAUGCACACCUUAUGCAUUUCUCGAAGCUUUGCUCACAAAAGAUUCAUGCGAGUUCCCUGCCCAUUUGGUUUAAAGUAGAUAGGCACUUGAGUAAAGAAAAGAGAGUCUUGACUUCUUUUUCGAAAAGGAGGGAAACCCCCCGGGCUCAGCAACAAAAAUAAUUUUGCUGAAAGUUGUUUGUUGUCUUGAUCAAUAAUUCCAUAUCAAAGACUGUUUUCUACAAAAUGUAUUUUCUGCAAAUCAAUACCACAGUUAUUUGUUUGCUAGAUAUAUCAAGCAAUUCGUUUACUUCAAUCAGCCAUACACCAAUAUUCAGGUCAGCAUAAAUGCAUCUUGCUGUCCACCGAUAGAAGUAGGGGUCAUGAAUGAAUCAUGUGAAGACAAUUAAAUUUACUCCACCCAUUCACUCACGAGAUGGAUGUUUCUUAUUGAGCAAAUCUGCGGUGGAAGCUGCAGAAAUCCUUUCAGUGGAGUAAAGACAGUAGAGUAGGAAGCAGUGCCAAAUUACCGCAAAUAUCUGUGGGGAAAUGAAUGGCAACAGAGCACGAAAAAGGGAGAAGGAUGGGAGAUAGAUGGACACGGUAGUAGUCGAGGCUUCUCCAGUGCACUUGACAAAUAAACUUAAAAUUUUGCAGGUUUCCUGAAUCUAGUAACAAGUCUGCAAUUGUGUUAGCAGCAUUCACUUCUCAGAAAUACUUCCUCCCCAGAGUAAUUCUAGAACUGCAUAGUACUGUAGCAGUAAUUUAUGAACGCUGUUUCGGUAUUUUUCAGGUCACAGGGAGGGAGAUCUUUCUAGUUCUGAAAGAAAAACAUGGUAUGGGGUUCGACGAUUUCAUCGAAGAAAAGAUAUGCCCUUUGGCAGGAGACAUCAUGUAUGAGAACUUUGGACUAGACACUGCCAACCUGAGAGAAUUGUCCAAGGACAUAGACAUCAUCGUCAACAUAGCUGCGAUUACAAACUUCUCUGAAAGGUUUGAGCCGGUGUUUCCUUGUAAGAUACUGUAUUAGUUUUUCUUUCAACACGAAACGGUAGGAAUUUCUUCCCAGUGCAUGUAUUUGUAAGAGAUUAGCGACAUGACAUAGACGCUGCUUGAAAUAAUUGAUCAAGAUAUGAUGCCUUUUCAGAUACGACGUGGCUUUCGAUGCUAACGUGUUGGGAGCGAAGCACGUGUGCGCAUUCGCAAGGAAGUGUACGAAACUCAAGAUGCUGCUUCAUGUUUCAACUGGUGGGAAAUCAAUAAGACUGAUCAAUGCAUUGUGGAUUACAUAAAUGGAUUACAUGAUUUGAACAGCCUAUGUAGCUGGUGAACAAGAGGGGCUAAUACUAGAGAAGCCAUUCUUGAUGGGUGAGACACUAAGGGAGGGCACACAUUUGGACAUCGAAUCCGAGUUAACUCUGAUCAGAGAGACCAGGCGAGAGUUGAAGGACAACUGUUCUUCGGAGAAGGCUGAGAGGAGAACCAUGAAGGAGCUUGGCCUCAAGAGGUCAGACAUAAACAACAACAGCAUAGAUAUGCUUGUGCACUUCUUUCUGCUGCAACUGGUUAGCCUUAAUGCAAUUCUGACACAUCUGUUACAUGCAAGGUUUUGGUUACCGAAUAAGGCAAUUUUACCGAGGGGCACGGAUAAAUGUGGUUACCACGGUUACCGAGAAAUACCGAGAAUAUUUCAAGCGAAUUUUAUAGUUGAAUUUUGAAUUCAAAUAAGUGAAUGAACGAAUAUUCGAACCAGAGACCUCUCAAAAUAGGAACUAGGUUGAUACCAACAUGCCAGAACCAACUCUCAUGGGAUUAAUUAGAUCCUACGUACUUUACUGUAAAUCGAGUGUUUAAAUUCCAAAAUUUCAAAAAACUGGUAUUUUUUGCUCGGUAUGGCGAUUUACCGAGGGGUACGGAAAUACGUGGUAACCAUGGGAAAUCUUGAAAUUUCGACCGGUAACCAAAACCUUGGUUACAUGUAUGAAUGAAGGGCUCGGCAGUUUGGGUGGCCAAACACCUAUGUCUUCACCAAGGCAAUGGGGGAGAUGCUGCUGGGGCAUCUGCCAGGGGAGCUUCCCGUGGUCAUCCUCCGGCCGAGCAUCAUAACCAGCAUCCUCAAGGAGCCAUUACCUGGAUGGAUGGAAGGAAUCAGGUGACAGAAACUCUGUCAAGAAUCUGUUUCUUGAUUAUUUUCUCAGGACAGUAAACUACUCCUACAACAAUAAGCAUUAAUUGAAUGAACAUCUUCAUGUUCGGGUUCCGCAGGACGAUCACGCGGUGGUCAUCGGCUACGCCAAGCAGACCUUGCCAUUCUUCCUAGUCGACCUCAGCUUGAUAAUGGACGUGGUAAUUAAGUUUUCUCAUGACAAAGUUUUUUUUUGAAAAGUGCUUAUUACAAAGUUAACCCGGAGUAGCAUACCUAGUAAGUUACCCAACUGUUUUGGACAGAUUCCUGGGGACAUGGUGGUGAACGCUAUGAUGGUGGCCAUGGCGGCCCACUCGGAGGAGCGGGCGCAGACCAUCUACCACGUGACGUCGUCGCUGCGCAACCCGGCGCCCUACGCGAUCCUGGCGGAUACGGGGCACCGCUACUUCUACGACAAUCCGCCGCGCACGGGGAGGAACGGCGAGCCCGCCCGGCUCAACAAGAUGCGCUUCUUCAGCACGGUGGCGCGGCUGAGCCUGUACAUGGCCGUCAGGUACAGGCUCCCGCUCGAGGUAAAUUCAAAAUUAGCCCGCCAUUUCAACAUUGGAUGGGAAUGGGACUCAUUGGAGUGAGAUGAGGAUGAGACUACUCAAUCAAUCUGCUGGGUUGGUUGGAUGGAGAACAGAUGCUUCGGCUGGUGAACAUUGCGCUCUGCGGCUUCUUCUCGCAGCGCUACGACGACCUCAGCAGGAAGUACAGGUUCAUCGUGCAGCUCAUCGAGCUCUACGCGCCCUACAGCUUGUUCAAAGGCUGGUACGUACGUACGCGUCAAAAUGUAGUAACAUUUUUACAGUGCGUAAGAUAAGCACGGCUCUUUGACUUGGUUUUUUCUCGACCGUGUGAAGCUUUGAUGACAUGAACACGGAGAGGCUAAGGAUGGCGAUGAAGAAGGAGCAACAUAGCAACAUUGCAGAAGAAUUCUACUUUGAUUUCGAUCCCAAGUCCAUCGACUGGGACAGCUAUUUCUAUGGUGUUCACAUCCCCGGUGUGCUCAAGUACAUGCGUGAUUGAGUUACAAGUAUUUAACUAGUCAAAUUUCCAGCCAGUUGCUACCACUGAAACUUGAGAACAAUUGUCUCCCUUUUUUUGGGAAUGAUUUAAACAUUGAUCGCCAUGCCUACCACGCGGUAAUAAUUGUCUCCCUUUGUUAUGCGGCUCUUUUUCUUCUCCGGGUUUUAUUAUGCAACUCUAAUGAAUAUAUCUAUCUUACUCCACUAGUUAUGCAACUCCCACGACCAUGAAUGUAUUACAAAUGUUGUUUUUUUCACAAAAUGGAAGUUGAAACCCAUGACCACUGCAUAGUGUGAUGCACAUAUACAUCCUUAUUAGCGUUAUGCAACCAACAUCCGAAGAAGCACAAAAUGCAGAAAAUAAAACCAAUCACAACCAACCAAUAACGGGAUUACACUCCUAUACAUAAUCUCUUAUUGGACCGCUAUCCAUUGUAUCCCGUGCGACCAUCGGUUGGAAAUCAAAGGCCAUAGAUGUCCCACACAUUAUAAAGAGCAUCAUAUACGGAUUCAUCCUGUAGAUCAGAAGAUAACCCUGCAAGAUCCCCUAAAAAAGAUAACUUGAAAGAAUUUUGAAAGGUUUCUUCUAUUAUAAACACUAGUAAUUAUGGUAAUUCCAAAUUGCUCACAAUAAGACACACGCUUUCACAUGGACCCCCACCAGCUAGUCCCCAACGUACUUUUGUAUGAUGGUAGGUGGAGACAGAUGAAUGGCUAUGUGAAUCGUACGCCAAGUGAGAGCAGCAAACAUGCAUGAAAUAAAAAAAGAUGUUGAAUCGGUUCCUCCUGUUCACAAAACAAUAUUUUCCGCAUCCCUCCAUCCACGAUUGGUCAAAAUAGCACCAUGAUUGAGAUACCACAUUAAAACAUUGAUCAAAAAGGGUACUUUUAAUCUUCGAAAGAGACUUCAUACUGAAAGUUACUUCCUCCGUUUCAAAAUAGAUGAACCAACUUUAUACUAAUUUUGGAAUGACCCAACUUUGUACGAAAGUUAGUACAAAGUUGGUUCAUCUAUUUUGAAACGGAGGGAGUACCUAGGAGUCCAUAAGAUCAGUGUGCAUGGACUUGACGGAGAAACACUAGGAGAGUGCAACUUUCGGCUGAAUAUAUCAGGUUUCCUGUGAUAAUUAAGUUGAUGGCAAUCAACCGGCGAACUAGAUACAGCGAUGCAAUCGACUUAUCCCCAACUAGAGCCCGACGUAAUUGAAUGUUCGGCGACUUCCCUAAAACAGGUGCACCAAAAACCUCUUUUUGUUGUACAAUACUAUAUAGAGAUGUGUACUGAAGGCUAGAGGUGCAUCUCCAAGCCAUGGGUUGUCGCAAAAUCUCAUGGUCUUUCCAUUGCGUACCCAGAAAAUCCUUAUGAAGAAUUCGUUUUAAUCAAGCCUUUCCAGUAUGCCGAGUCAAACGGCUUGUCGAAACCUGUUGGAAAUAUUGCCUUAGAGGUAGUAGUAAAUGUUCUUAUUUAUUUCCAUGCUUGUAAUUAAUGUUUACAUUUCUAUGCUAGAGUUGCUAUGGUUCUUGAAUAUAAGAUUUAGAGGAAAACUCAUAUGCAUGUGUGAAAACUUAGAUUCUGCCUUGAGUGGUUGGAUCUGAUGGCGGCGGUGAUUGACUGCUCCCUUCUUGAAGGCAUCAUUGUUGAAAAACCUCAUCGCUCGUAUGGUGUCAUGAGAUGGUUGGCGCGGAUAUGAUCAUUGUCGUAGUUUGCCAAUGGUGGAUCGGGUCGCUUUGUUUUUUUUUUUCUUGUCUACGCAUAGCUUUGGUCUUAUAUGACUUUCCUACUUGCCGGCGUGUUUUUGUGUGUGCGUCUUGGUGUUGGUUGUGUGCAUUCUAAUUAUGCAGAGGUCGGGUGUGUGUUCAUUGUGUUUGUAUACUCUUGAUGUUCCAUUUUAUGUUGAUAAAAUCCACCCUUUAUCGAAAAAGUAGGUUGCUAGUCUCUUGACACAACUUCAACACCCAUAUGCUUUAUUGUUAAUGAAGCCGACAAAUGUGUCUACUACCACUAUGGCGGGGCGAAGGAGUAAUCCCUACUUGUAUGUUGAUGACAUACUAAUAUUUGGGACCACACUCAAAGUCAUUGACGUGGUCAAAACUUUCUUAUCUCGAUGUCAUGAGAUGAAUGACCUUGAAGAAACCGAUGUUAUCAUAAACACCAAGCUGCUGAGAAAUGAAAAUAAUGGGAUUACUCUUGUGGAAUCUCAUUAUGUGAAAAAGGUGUUGAGCAUAUUUGGAUAUUUCAAUUGCAAAGCUUCUCUAACUCCUUAUGAUUCUAGUAUAUUGCUUCAAAAGAAUCAAAUGGCUACUAGAGAUCAGUUGAGAUACUCUCAGAUAAUUGGCUCGCUCUUGUACUUAGCUAGCGCAAGAGGCCAAAAAUGUCAUUGUGAGCAAACUAAGUUGUUUAGUUUCCAAUCUGGGAUAUGACCAUUGACAUGCUCUUGAGAGAGUAAUGCGAUAUCUAGAGGGAGCCAUGAGCUAUGACAUUUGCUAUAAUGGAUUGAAGAGUAUAGUGACUCAAGUUCGAUUUUCUGAUGCUGAUGAGAUAAAGGCCACAAGUGUAUACAUACACUAGUAGAAAAGGGGGCAAUGGUCCAGGCCGGGUUAGCCCAUUAGUCCCGGUUCAAUCCAGAACCGGGACCAAUGGGGGCAUUGAACCCGGUUCGUGAGCCCCGGGGGCCGGCCGGGCCACGUGGGCCAUUGGUCCCGGUUCGUCUGGACCUUUUGGUCCCGGUUGGUGGGACGAACCGGGACCAAUGUGCCUUGCUCCUGGCCCACCACCAUUGGUCCCGGUUGGUGGCCUGAACCGGGACCAAAGGCUUCCCUUUAGUCCCGGUUCAAGCCACGAACCAGGACCAAUUAAUUGCCUAUAUAUACCCCGCGAGCAGAGCACUCUCACUGCUCUGUUUUUCGUGGCCGGCGAGGAGAGAGCUUUGUGGUGCUUUAGCUCACCUCCUAUGCACACGAGGUGUUCGAUGGAAUGCCCGAGCCACACUACUUAAGCUUUCUCCUCUCCAAGCUCGACCUCCAAGCUCCAUUUUCCUCAAUAUUUGUCUAGGUUUAGCGGUCCGUCACGUCCCGUCCCCGUCUUCACCACCGUCGAUCGCCCGCGCCGAUCUCGUGUCGGCAUCACCGUGGUGAGCCUCUUAUUCUUAUCUUCUUUCUGAAAGGAAAAAAAAUUCUUACUUUUAUGUUUAUAUAGAUACUUGUAUAAUUUUCUUACUUUUAUUAUUGCAUCUUAUAUAGUGCGAUGGUUUUGGUAUCCGCCCCCGUCGGCCCUCGUCCUGUCUAUGAUUCGGAUGUGGUAUAUAUUAUCUUUUCAUAACUAUUGGUUCAUCUAUUGUUUAUGACAAUUAUGCCGACCAACGUGACAUAGAUUUUAUUUAUCUAGGAGGUUGUUGAACUGGAAAUUCAAACCGACCCUAUUGUCGAGAGGUUAAAUUUAGUUGAAGAAGAAAACAAUUUGUUAAAGGAAAAAAUUAGAAAAUUUGAGGAGGAGAAGAUGAUAUUGGAGUUGCAUGUUGCGGAUGUCGUGGAUGAUCACAAGAUCAAGAUGGAUGCAAUGCGCUUGAAGAUUAAAAAGAUUAGAAAAUAUGCCAUUCAUACCGAGGCUUGGUAUCAUUAUAUCGUUGGAUCAGUUGUUACAUUGGUUGCGAUUAUGAUCGCAUUUGUUUUCGCAUUGAAAUAUUUUACAUAGUUUUAAUGUAUGAUUUAAUUAAUUUAGAUGCUCUGCAGAGCUUUAUGUUGUUAGAUGAGAACUAUGUAUGUACUUUGGUUUUAAUGUGAUGAUGAACUUCUAUUAAUUUGGUCACUUAAUUAUCUAUUCAUGAUGUUCUGUAAUGAUUUUUGACACAAUGCACGCAGAUGAACCGGCAAUGGAUGUACGGUUCAAGACACACCUCCGAGUACAUUAAGGGCGUGCAUGAAUUUUUCGAAGUGGCUGAGGCAAACAAGCAGAAUGGUUUUAUGUGUUGUCCAUGCCCUAUAUGUGGGAAUACGAAGUCUUACUCUGACCAGAAAAUCCUUCACACCCACCUGCUUUACAAGGGUUUCAUGCCACACUAUAAUGUUUGGACGAGGCACGGAGAAAUAGGGGUUAUGAUGGAAGACGACGAAGAAGAAAAGUGCGAUGACAACUAUGUGCCCCCUGAAUACGGUGAUGCUACUGAAGAUCAAGAGGAACCAGACGAUGUGCACGAUGAUGCUGCAACAGGCGAAGGUGCUGAAGAUCAAGAGGAACCAGACGAUGUGCCCGAUGAUGAUGAUCUCCGUCGGGUCAUUGUCGAUGCAAGGACGCAAUGCGAAAGUCAAAAGGAGAAGCUGAAGUUCGAUCGCAUGUUAGAGGACCACAAAAAAGGGUUGUACCCCAAUUGCGAAGAUGGCAACACAAAGCUCAGUACCGUACUGGAAUUGCUGCAGUGGAAGGCAGAGAAUGUUGUGCCUGACAAAGGAUUUGAGAAGCUACUAAAAAUAUUGAAGAAGAAGCUUCCAAAGGAUAACGAAUUGCCCGACAGUACAUACGCAGCAAAGAAGGUCGUAUGCCCUCUAGGAUUGGAGGUGCAAAAGAUACAUGCAUGCCCUAAUGACUGCAUCCUCUACCGCGGUGCGUACAAGGAUCUGAACGCAUGUCCGGUUGCGGUGCAUUACGGUAUAAGAUCAGACGAGAUGACCCUGGUGAUGUUGACGGCGAGCCCCCCAGGAAGAGGGUUCCUGCGAAGGUGAUGUGGUAUGCUCCUAUAAUACCACGGUUGAAAUGUCUGUUCAUAAACGGAGAGCUUGCAAGUUGAUGCGAUGGCACAGUGAGGACCGUAAGAAAGACGGGAAGUUGAGAGCACCCGCUGACGGGUCGCAGUGGAGAAAAAUCGAGAGAAAGUACUGGGAUGAGUUUGCAAGUGACCCAAGGAACGUAUGGUUUGCUUUAAGUGCGUAUGGCAUUAAUCCUUUCGGGGAGCAGAGCAGCAAUCACAGCACCUGGCCCGUGACUCUAUGUAUGUAUAACCUUCCUCCUUGGAUGUGCAAGAAGCGAAAGUUUAUUAUGAUGCCAGUUCUCAUCCAAGGCCCUAAGCAACCCGGCAACGACAUUGAUGUGUACCUAAGGCCAUUACUUGAAGAACUUUUGUAGCUAUGGAAUGGAAAUGGUGUACGUACGUGGGAUGAGCACAAACAUGAGGAAUUUCACCUAAAGGUGUUGCUGUUCGUGACCAUCAAUGAUUGGCCCGCUCUCAGUAACCUUUUAGGACAGACAAACAAGGGAUACCACGCAUGCACGCACUGUUUACUUGACACCGAUAGUAUAUACCUGGGAAGCUGCAGGAAGAAUGUGUACCUGGGCCAUCGUCGAUUUCUUCCGACCAACCAUCAAUGUCGAAAGAAAGGCAAGCAUUUUAAAGACGAGGCAGAUCACCGGAGGAAGCCCGCCAUGCGUACCGGUGAUCACGUACUUGCUAUGGUCAAUGAUUUACACGUAAUCUUUGGAAAGGGUCCCGGCGGACUAGCUGUUCCGAGUGACGCUGGGGGACACGCACCCAUGUGGAAGAAGAAAUCUAUAUUUUGGGACCUACCCUACUGGAAAGACCUAGAGGUCCGCUCUUCGAUCGACGUGAUGCAUGUGCCGAAGAACCUUUGCGUGAACCUGCUAGGCUUCUUGGGUGUGUAUGGGAAGACAAAAGAUACAGUUGAGGCACGGGAGGACCUGCAACGUUUGCACAAAAAAGACGGCAUGCCUCCAAAGUAGUAUGAAGGUCCUGCCAGCUAUGCUCUUACCAAAGAAGAGAAGGAAAUCUUCUUUGAAUGCCUGCUUAGUAUGAAGGUCCUGACUGGCUCUCGUCGAAUAUAAAAGGAAUAAUAAAUAUGUCAGAGAAAAAGUUUCAGCACCUAAAGUCUCAUGACUGCCACGUGAUUAUGACGCAACUGCUUCUGGUUGCAUUGAGGGGGCUUCUACCGGAGAACGUCCGAUUAGCCAUUGUGAAGCUAUGUGCAUUCCUCAAUGCAAUCUCUCAAAAGGUGAUCGAUCCAGAAAUCAUACCAAGGCUAAGAAGUGAUGUGGUGCAAUGUCUUGUCAGUUUCGAGCUGGUGUUCCCACCAUCCUUCUUCAAUAUCAUGACGCACGUCCUAGUUUAUCUAGUUGACGAGAUUGUCAUUCUGGGCCCCGUAUUUCUACACAAUAUGUACCCCUUUGAGAGGUUCAUGGGAGUCCUAAAGAAAUAUGUCCGUAACCGCGCUAGGCCAGAAGGAAGCAUCUCCAUGGGCCAUCAAACAGAGGAUGUCAUCGGGUUUUGUGUUGACUUCAUUCCUGGCCUUAAGAAGAUAGGUCUCCCUCAAUCGCGGUAUGAGGGGAGACUGACUGGAAAAGGCACGCUUGGAAGGGACUCAAUAAUAUGCAGGGACGGAUAUUCUUGGUCUCAAGCAUGCUACACAGUUCUACAGAACUCUACCUUGGUGACCCCGUAUGUCGAUGAACACAAGAACAGUCUGCGCCCCAAACACCCGGAGCAGUGCGACGACUGGAUUACAUGUGAACACAUCAGGACUUUCAGCAGUUGGUUGGAAGCACGUCUCAGAGGUGACAACACUGUUUGUGAUGAGCUGUACUUGUUGUCCAGGGGACCAUCUUCGACUGUUACGAUUUGGAAAGGAUACGAGAUAAAUGGGAAUACAUUUUACACGAUUGACCAAGAUCAAAAGAGCACCAACCAAAACAGCGGUGUCCGCUUUGAUGCAACAACCGAGAGGGGAAAGGACACAUAUUAUGGUUACAUAGUGGACAUAUGGGAACUUGACUACGGACAUGAUUUUAAGGUCCAUUUGUUUAAGUGCAAAUGGGUCAAUCUGUCAGGAAGCGGGGUACAGGUAGACCCACAGUACGGAAUGACAACAGUGGAUCUGAAAAAUCUUGGGUACACUGACGAACCGUUCGUCCUAGCCAAUGAUGUGGCACAGGUUAUUUAUAUGAAGGACAGUUAUUUAUAUGAAGGACAUGUCUACCAGACCGAGAAAAAAAAAGAUAAGGAAGCGAGUACAUCAUACGAUGAGCCAAAGCGCCACAUAGUUCUUUCAGGAAAAAAGGACAUCGUGGGAGUGGAGGGCAAGACAGACAUGUCUGAAGAUUAUGAAAAGUUUCAUGAAAUUCCUCCCUUUAAAGUCAAGGCUGACCCCGGCAUCCUGAUAAGCAAUGAAGAUUAUCCAUGGUUACGGCGCAAUAAGCAAAUGACACAAGCGAAGAAAAAGUGAAGACUUUCUCCCGCAACUAUUAUGAUGAUACCAUGCCAACUUUGUAACACACGAGUAUGAUACCAUUGUCCGUUUUGUACAUGCACAUGCUAUGUGGGUGAAUUUAUGAUACCAUGCCAACUUUCAACUUUUUCAUAGUUCAUUUGAAAUGAUUUAAUGUCUUAUGGUUCGGCCCUCGUAAUAAUUAAAAAUAGCAACAAUAAGUAUUUUGUUGUAAGCAGAAACAAAAUAAAAUAAAUAAAGUAAGAAAGAAAACAAAAAAACAAAAAAAGUGUUUUCAAAUUUGAAAACUAAUGGCACUAACAGAAAGUUUAUAAUUUUUCUAAAACUAAAAGAAAAAAGAAUUAAAAAUAAAGCAAAAAACAAAAGAAAAUAAAUAAGGCAGAAAACAAAACAAAAAAACUGGAAAAUAAUUAAAAAUAGCAACAAUAAGUAUUUUGUUGUAAGUAGAAACAAAAUAAAAUAAAUAAAGCAAGAAAGAAAACACAAAAACAAAAAAAUGUUUUCAAAUUUGAAAACUAAUGGCACUAACAGAAAGUUUAUAAUUUUUCUAAAACUAAAAGCAAAAAGAAUUAAAAAAUAAAGCGAAAAACAAAAGAAAAUAAAUAAUGCAGAAAACAAAACAAAAAAGUGGAAAAAUUAAUAAUAGCAACAAUAAGUAAAGAAAACAAAAAAAAAUGCCUCUUACUGGGCCCCCACGGCCUGAAUACGACUAGAAACCCAAGUAUGGGCCAGGAUUCAGGCCCGCAGUAGGCCCAGAAGGCCCAUCAGGCAAAGCAAUAGCAAGUAGGCCCGAAAGCCUGCGGUGGAGAGGAGGUCGAGAGGGGUGCAGCAGUGGGGCUUAUAAACCACUACACACCCCUCUCAACUAGCGAGGUGGGACUAAAGGGGGAGGCAUUGGUCCCGGUUGGUGGCACCAACCGGUACCAAAGGCCGCCGGUUCCCGCCCUUUGGGCUGCCGAAAAAGAGGCCUUUGGUCCUGGUUGGUGGCNNNNNNNNNNNNNNNNNNNNNNNNNNNNNNNNNNNNNNNNNNNNNNNNNNNNNNNNNNNNNNNNNNNNNNNNNNNNNNNNNNNNNNNNNNNNNNNNNNNNNNNNNNNNNNNNNNNNNNNNNNNNNNNNNNNNNNNNNNNNNNNNNNNNNNNNNNNNNNNNNNNNNNNNNNNNNNNNNNNNNNNNNNNNNNNNNNNNNNNNNNNNNNNNNNNNNNNNNNNNNNNNNNNNNNNNNNNNNNNNNNNNNNNNNNNNNNNNNNNNNNNNNNNNNNNNNNNNNNNNNNNNNNNNNNNNNNNNNNNNNNNNNNNNNNNNNNNNNNNNNNNNNNNNNNNNNNNNNNNNNNNNNNNNNNNNNNNNNNNNNNNNNNNNNNNNNNNNNNNNNNNNNNNNNNNNNNNNNNNNNNNNNNNNNNNNNNNNNNNNNNNNNNNNNNNNNNNNNNNNNNNNNNNNNNNNNNNNNNNNNNNNNNNNNNNNNNNNNNNNNNNNNNNNNNNNNNNNNNNNNNNNNNNNNNNNNNNNNNNNNNNNNNNNNNNNNNNNNNNNNNNNNNNNNNNNNNNNNNNNNNNNNNNNNNNNNNNNNNNNNNNNNNNNNNNNNNNNNNNNNNNNNNNNNNNNNNNNNNNNNNNNNNNNNCCCGCCGCCCCUGCAAUUUCCAUAGCAAUUUUUUGCAUUUUUUUGUGUAUAUGUGUUUGUAUCUGUAUAUAUGUGUGUACAUGUUCAUAGUAUUUUUUUUCAUAAGUGUAUUUUUUUGGUUCAUUGCAUUUUUUUCAUAUAUAUAAUGUAUAUAUGUAUGUGGUAGCUAUAUAUAUGAUGAAUGGAUGUGGCUAUAUAUGUAUGUAUGAAUAUAAUGUUCAUAGCAUUUUUUUGUUUAUAUAUGUUUUUUCAUGUAUGUAUUAAUUUUUUAUUUAGGUUGUUAGUAGAUAUCGAUUUUAGGUUAGUGCAUUUUAGGUUAGUGUAGAGGAUAAAGUAAAAUAAGGAAAAGGAAGAAAAGAGGAAGAAGGAAGAAGGAAGAAGAAGAAGAAAAAGAAUGAGAGGAAAAAGGAAAAUAAGAAGAGGAAGAAGAGGAGAGGAAGAAGAGGAGAAAUAAAUAAGAAGAAGAAAAAAGAAGAAAAAGAAGAGGAGAAGAAGAAAGGAAUAGAGGAGAAGAAGAAAAAAAUAGAAUUUUAUUUUUAUUUUUUCUUCUUCUCAUUUAUUCCUUUCUUCUUCUCCUCUUUUUUUCUUCUUUUUUUUUCUUCUUCUUCCUUCUUCCUUCUUCCUCUUUUCUUCCUUUUCCUUAAUUAUUUUCCUUUCUCGUCGUUGUCGCGUCGUUGUCGAUAUAACCCCCUCGAGAUAACUUCGACAUGAGGGCCGGUCAAUAUAUAUACCCCCUCUCAACUGCGAUAACUUAUACAACGGUAGCACCCCCCUCGGCCCUCUCGCUCGACCAAAACUCUCGAGGACACCCAAACCCUAGAGAGAAUUGGUCUCCUACCCCCUCCCGCCGUGCCCCUACCCGACAAAUUAACUCUCUCGAGGCCACCCAAAUUUACCAAGUUAAAAUAGCGUUGUCGUCGAGGCCACCCCAAACCCUUGAAGCGUUGUGUCGAGGCGAUCCCAAACCCUAGAGAAGCAGCGUCGAGGCCACUAACAUGAGUCCUUAUUGUGAUUAGCUAGCUAGUUCCAUCUGUACCAUGUUUGAAUAAUAAUUGACAUGUUGUAAAUAUUUGCAGAAACUAUGGAGCACUCCCGAGACGAAGAAACAGAAGCGAUGUUGGGGGACAUAAUCGCAAAUGGAAGUGAUGAAGUUGCGUCAUUUCUCCUCGACACCGAUGGUCAGCUGGAAGGACUGGGUGAAGAAGAGGGCUAUGUUCAUGAUGGCUUCGGCCCAUUAAUGCCGGUACAAAAAGAGGACUAUGUUCAUGAUGGCUCCAAUGACACAAUGGAGGUACAAGAAGGAGACCGUGCUGACUGCUCCGGUGACCGAACCGAGUCUGGCCAGGUAUAUAUAUAUAUUAGUUAAGCCCGUGCUGACUAGUUAAUUGAUGCUUCCAUUGUUUUGGUAUAUGUACACAUAUUAAUUACUCUCAUCUUUCUUCCUUAUAAUUUCUAGCCCUCCGGAUCGAGCACAACUUCGGUAAGGAGACGAGGCCCGAAGGAAAAGUUGAGCUCAGAUAAAAAGUUUGAGAUCAUAGAAAGCGCGCCCGACGGCGAAGCGAUUGAACCCAUCUGGACAAGGAAGGCAUUUUCUGCUCAGUUCGGGGUUCUUGUUAGGGACAAGAUCCCGAUCAGCAUCCAGCAAUGGUAUAAGCCUAAGGAGGAAAACCCUGAGGUGUCUUAUGUCAAUGAUAUGGAAAAAGAAGAUCUUUGGACUCAGCUGAAGGCAAAUUUCACCCUACCGCCAGAGGAGGAUCCGGAGAAGCCAGUUAAAGAGCAAUUAAUCAAGUCUUAUGCUCUUAAGAAGAUGGCAACCCUAAUGAGGAGGUGGAGGAAAGAGCUGAACCAGUUUGUCGGAAAAAAAGACACCAGAAUUCAUCGGCAAAUAUGAGAAGAUCAAAGAUCACUGGCCCGCAUUUGUGGCCCACAAGACAUCAGAAAAGAGUAAGAAGAUGUCGGCGACAAACAAGAAAAAUGUUGCAAAGAAGAAGCUUCACCAACGCACGGGGUCAGGUGGCUACCUCAAAGCCCGGCCUAAGUGGUCCAAGGCUGAGCAUGAUCUGCUUGAAAAAGGGAUCGAACCAGAGACAAUAUACUGGCCAGACCGUUGCCGGACUUGGUUCUUCGGGGCUGGCGGAACCUUGGACCCUGUAAUAGGGAAGUGCCAUUGGACGGACGAGCAACUGCAAAUACCAGUCAAGAACCUUCGACACUAUAUCGAGGCAGCGCAGCAAGGGACGUUCAUUCCAAACAGGGAGAAGGACGAGCUCAUAAUGGACCUUGGUAAUCCUGAGCACCCUGGACGGACACGAGGCACGCCAGGCUCCAUUCCAUGGAAGGUUGGUUUUCCGGACGCAGGGGGUUACAAAACCCACGAGAGGAGGAAGAAACUGGAGCAGGGCCAACUGCAGGCGCUGCACGAAAGGGUAAUGGGGCUAGAGGAACGAGAAGAGGAAUGAGAAGCAGCAGAUCGCAGCAAACGACCUACCGAAGCUUCCCCCGAAGCUACCCUGCCAUCUCAGCGGAGAAGCGGCGUGGCUUCCACCGAGCUGCUUCAGUCGGAGCAUGUCUUGAUGGCUCCUGCGAGCUAUCCCGUGGAUGAUAUCACGGAGUCUCAAAAUUGCCACAUAAUGGCGCGAUGGAUGAAUUUGAAGGUCAAGGCGGUUGUUGGCUCUGUUUAUCCUAGUGGACCCGGCACAACUUAUCACUACCAGCCGAUUCCAGAAGGAUAUGCUAAGGUGAUGGUGGAUGAAAUAACAGAAGGAUUUGAGGACCUCCCGCUUGACCACCCUACCGGUGAAGGGGAGACUAGGCUGGGUUCUACUCUGAAGACUCCAUGCCUAUGGCGGAAGGAGCUCAUCAACCUUUCGAACUGGACGCCUCCGCCUCCUCCUCCUCCUCUGGCGAGUCAGGGCACUCCGCCUCCUCCACCGCCUCCUUCUCCGGCGAGUGACGAUCAGGGCACGCGUGGCGGCACUCCGCCUCCUUCUCCGGUGUGUGGCGGCACUCCGCCUCCUUCUCCGCCUGCGUCGGCACUCUCGAGCAGCCAACAGCCUCCUCCUUCUCCGCCUCGCCAGCAAGGGCGGAAGAGACCCGCCGCCGCCCCGGCUGCUCCGGCGCAUCGUACUCCUUCUCCUCCGCCUCGUAAGCAAGCACGAAAGAAGACAGACGCCGCAGCCGCUCCGUCUGCUCCGGCGUCUAGCAGCACAACCAGAGGCGGGAGGCAAUACAAAUACGGUCCACCUCUCAAGCCUCUAUAGAAGUUACCGUACGAGAGGACAGAGGAGGAAAACGAUACGAUUGUGCGGACCCACGUGAAGGAGUUCUUUGAAGGGGUGAAAGCAAAGAGACAUCCACCUCCGGAGGAGAAGGUAGAUCCGGUGAAAGCAAAGCGCACUAUCGAUGCCCUGAGGAAACCACCAAAGUCUCCACCGAGAACCAACUAUGAGCGCGUUACUGAAUAGACAUAUCUCCAAGCCCAGCGGUCGGGAACUACUGUCAGUGAUAAAAGGUUAAAAGAACGAGCAAAGGGGAAAAAAUUGCCCAGCUCGGCGAACAAGCACAGCAAUCGUGCCCCCCGCUCAAUGUGUCUAAUGCUCCGGGGACGGUGGCCGGUUAUGGCAAUCUUGAAGAUUACCUGCCUGGCGAUGCACUUCCUGAUUUCAUGGAGGUGGACGAACACAGAUACGAGUACGGGAAGCCUCUCGUCAAAGAUGAAAAAUCUCUGACAACAAUGAUGCGAAGAUUCCAUAGUUGGUACAUGAAAACCUGUAGAGAGUCUGAGGGGACGAAUAGUUUGUAUCUGAACAUUAAAGAGGAGCACAACCUCGUUUCAAAUGAUCUGUUGUGUGUUCCAUUUGAUGAGUUCUUCGCGUUCUUCAAUCAAAAGGCCCUCGAUAAAUUAAUGGUAUUUUGCUACUGCCUGUAAGUACUAUUUCUGUCAUUAAGUCUCUAUAUAUAGCUCGUCUCUUUCAUUGCAUGUAUUUAUAAUUAAUUAUCCUCAAUAUAUUAUGCAGAUUGAAGAUCAUCGAGUGUAAAAAACAAGAAAUUUAUGAUAUUGGGUUCAUUAACACAAAUAUCAUAGAUGAAUUUCUGGUUGAAAAGGACGUCAAAGAGGCCGAGGACAACUUGCUACAAUCGUUGAUCAAAAAUCAAAACAAAGAUACCAUACUCUUUCCUUACAACGGCAAGUGAGUGUUACUGUCGUGUGCAUAUUCGAUUUCCCUUAUUACUCGAGCGAGGUUAUAGUAAUGUAAUUGAUGAGUUAUGCAUGCGUGCGCAGGUACCACUAUAUUCUUUUGGAGAUUAAGCUUGAGCGUGGACUAGUAACCGUCUUAGACUCGAGACGGAAAGAUCCCAAAACCUAUGGGGACAUGACUGAAAUGCUCAGCAAGUAAGUUCAAUCGAUCAUUAUCGCACCAUAUCGGCAACUUUUUGUUCAUUUCCUGAUAUCUCAAGUAAUAAUAAUUAUUUUCUUUGUCUUGCAGGGUUUGGAAACAGUUCACCGCAGAAGCUCCGGGACUGCCGAAGGAGCUGCGAUAUACAUACACGAAAGUAAGUACUACUAGCUAGCUAGUUGCGCGCAUUUCCCGUUGAUUCUAUAGCUAUACUUUCAUCAAUGCCAUUUAUAAUGCUUCAUUAUCAGUUUGAUUGACCUCUAUUUCUCGUAAAGUGCUUGUGGCAGGAGGAAGGGAAUGAUUUCUGUGGAUACUACGUGUGUGAGUUCAUCCACACCGCGACUUUGAAAAACAAGCGGGGCUACUCUAAAAGACAAUAUGAAGUGUGUAAGCAAUAAUAUUCACAAUUUCAUUUUAUUACACCAUCAUUUCUGUUGAGUUUCAUUCAUAUAUAUGUAUUAAUUAACCCCCUUCUUCAAAUUAGACGUGGCAGAUGCGGAAUGAACUCCUAGAACCAGAUCGCAUGAAAGAAAUUCAAGAGGAAUUGGCGAGAUUCUUUCUUGACCACGUCAUCAGUAAAGCCGGAGAAUACCAUGUGGAAAUUGAUUUCAAAUGCAAGGGGUUUGUAAUUAAGAGAUCUUAUACAUAUUGUACAUGUAUGUAGCCAGUAGCGUCGGAUACAUGAUAUGAAAACUUGUCGUUUGACCAAUCUCUCGGAGAAGGAGAGGUCAAUCGAUCACUUCUCUCGGUAUGCAUGACGAACUUCUGUACUGAAUGGUUCUCUCGAUCACUUAUGUAUAUAUAGUACGUAGCGUCGACCAAGCACGGACAUAAGAGAGGACACUUCUCUCUAUUAAUUAGCUAGCUAACACAAUAUAUGAAACACCUAANNNNNNNNNNNNNNNNNNNNNNNNNNNNNNNNNNNNNNNNNNNNNNNNNNNNNNNNNNNNNNNNNNNNNNNNNNNNNNNNNNNNNNNNNNNNNNNNNNNNNNNNNNNNNNNNNNNNNNNNNNNNNNNNNNNNNNNNNNNNNNNNNNNNNNNNNNNNNNNNNNNNNNNNNNNNNNNNNNNNNCCUCCUUUCAAAAAAAACCCCCAGCCACUGGAAUGCUGACGCGUGGAUGCCUUUUGAUCCUGGUUGGAGCCACCAACCGGGACCAAAGGCCCCCUGACUGGGCUCGACGCACAGGGCCACGUGGAGGCACAUUGAUCCCGGUUCGUGUUUGAACCGGGACUAAUGGGUGGAGGUAUUAGUAACGACCCAUUAGCCCCGGUUCAUGAACCGGGACUAAAGGCCCUUACGAACCGGGACUAUUAGGUGUUUUUCUACUAGUGAUAUUCCUACAGGGAGUAUAUGUUUAUUGGAAUCAUGAUAAUUAAGAGCAUCUACACCCGGAUAUGGAAAAUACGGCUCCUCAAACGCCCGCGGACACUCCCGGGCACGUCUGCAGGCAGUGACCGGUCACUCCUCAAAUCAACACAACUGCAUCCGGACAUCUCAUACUAGAUUCUCAAAUCCAUACAAAAGCAUGUAAACUUAAAAACCUACGUACUACGUAGCUACUUAUCGUCGAAGAUGUCGACAAUUUUGGUGCCCGACUCUAGGUACAUGAGCAGCAGCUGUAGCUCCGGCGCCUCCGGCUGCUCAGCUUCGGUCUCCUCCUCCUCCUCUAUCUCCGCCUCGAGUUCGGUGAAGAGCGCGUCGGACGCCGCCUGCUCCUGCCAAAGGAACUGUCAGUUGUCCUCCAAAUAGGUCUCAUCCUGGAUGGACUCCAGAAUGCCUGCUGCUCCACCAUCUCCACAGCUUGGGCGACGGCGAACUCCGCCUCUGCCUCCACCAUGCUNNNNNNNNNNNNNNNNNNNNNNNNNNNNNNNNNNNNNNNNNNNNNNNNNNNNNNNNNNNNNNNNNNNNNNNNNNNNNNNNNNNNUGCUCUGCCUCCUCCUCCAGAUCCGCCACCUCCAUCGGCUCCGGCAGCGUCUCUCCCUCCUCCUCCGGUUGCUGCUCCUCCUCCCCCUCCUCCGGCUCUAGCGAGUCCGGAGACAGCCCGGCAGUGAUGCAGGCGGCGUGCCUUGCCUGGAUCUCCUCUGCGAUAUGCCUCCGUGAGCAUAACAUACGUGGUGAUCACAGGGCCGGUCCUGAGAUUUUGGGGGCCCGGGGCAAACCUAAAACUCGGGGCCCUUCCGUAUAAGCAGUAGAGUAGUUGUAAUUGAUAUAUGUACAAAAUAUUACCAAUAAGCAUGUAAAUGCAUCUUAAAAAUCAAUUUUCAGGUCAUAAAUCUUUGUUUGCGGCCAAACACAUAUGCUCUUUAAACGUCAUGAUAACACAAAGUGCUAAAAAAUUGCAUGAAAGCUUGAAAAGUGCAAGCUACAUAUGGAUGAUGCAUACAGUGGCGAAUCUAGGACGUAAAUGCUGGCAGGCACAACUUCAAGGGCACGCUAGAGCCCGUUAAAGCCUGUUGAGUAGAAUCGCCCCUGGAUGCAUAUGAAGAUAAAUUACAUAAUUAGGGUAGAUCCAGAUUCCAAAAAUCCACACCAUACACAUAGAACACUAAUAUAGCACAACGGACUGCGUACAUGGUGCGUGUGACAGGGCAAACACCAGUUGUAGGAAUUAUGGGGCUCUUCUAGACCUAUGUCUGUGAAUCUUCCUAGAUGCAUCACGGUGGGUGCUGGAGCAAAUCACGUCACACAACACAACGAAUGAGCGACCGUGAACCCAUUAUAAAUCUAGAUAGAUAGAUAUGCCGAUAUGACAUGGGGAGUGAUAAGUUGAAGAUUUGAUAUUACCUUGAUUGGUCAGAUCUCGAAGAUAAUGCGAUGUGAAUUUGCGUCAGGCUCCGGAAGGAGGCGCUUAACAGCGUGCGUGCGCGUCCAGCGUCUGAAGACCAGAGGCGUGCUGCACUCCGGCGGAGGUUCGUCCAGCGCCGCCAGCAACUCGCAUCGCGACCCGGGGCAUAGGAUAGGGAUCGUAGGACUUGCUCUCGGAAGGAACUGACGAUUGCAACGUGGACUCCUGUCUCCAAGGCCCGUAGGCUCUCCCUCGGGAUCGUCGUGGCUGCUAGGCCCUUGCGGCCGCGUCAAUACUAUGCAUGCGAUCCUAAUCAAUCAAUCAGGCGGGCCUAAUACUACUAGUGAUUAGCGCCCCUGCCUCNNNNNNNNNNNNNNNNNNNNNNNNNNNNNNNNNNNNNNNNNNNNNNNNNNNNNNNNNNNNNNNNNNNNNNNNNNNNNNNNNNNNNNNNNNNNNNNNNNNNNNNNNNNNNNNNNNNNNNNNNNNNNNNNNNNNNNNNNNNNNNNNNNNNNNNNNNNNNNNNNNNNNNNNNNNNNNNNNNNNNNNNNNNNNNNNNNNNNNNNNNNNNNNNNNNNNNNNNNNNNNNNNNNNNNNNNNNNNNNNNNNNNNNNNAGCCGCCGGACCAUGGUGAUGCCGGACAACGUGGAAGAGCUGGGACAGCUUGGGGGAGUGGGAAGAGGAGGCGGACAGGCUCGAGUGGCGGGGUAGAGAGUGAGGAGGUGGAUGGGCUAGGGUUGGGGGCGCUGGCCAGCUUUGGCCUCGGGCGGCGAGCCAGAGCGGCGCCACGCGGCGACGGAGGAGGCGUCCGUUGAACCGCCGGGUUUCCAGACGUUUCCGCGAGGGACCCCAUCGUCAGUCCUACGUGACGGGCACGCUGAGGCGCCCCAUAUCCGCUCCAAAUUUGAACUGGAUAUGAGGGGUACCGGUCAGCCCGGGCGUUUGAGGCCCGCUCGAGGCGCUCGUCUGGAUCAGAUAUCCGUGACCGGGCGGGCCGUCCGGGCGAUUGAGACCGGUUUUGGGCGCUUCUAUAAAUGCUCUAAUCAAGCAAAAAUGCAAAUUGAAGAUAAGACCGAGAUCCCAGAAAGACAGUAGAACAUUUUUUUAAAGCAAAACAGUAGAACAAUAUGCAUAUAAUCAUACAUCACAGCCCGCCGUACGUACAAAGGCCCCACAAACCACCGUGCAAAAACCAACCCAAUGUAAGAGCGAGCAAGAAAGAGAAGAAUGAAUAGACCAGUCUCGGAGAAGAAGAACAAUCCUCUCCAGGCCCACGGAGAAAAAACAAAAUGACACACACGUAAGUAAGGUCAAGGUCGCGUUCAGAGCCUCCGGCAGCCUCGUCUCAG